RNAcentral lists this long non-coding RNA (51765 nucleotides) under Triticum aestivum (bread wheat). Its description in RNAcentral is "long non-coding RNA (TAES_LNC026657)". Lineage: Eukaryota; Viridiplantae; Streptophyta; Magnoliopsida; Poales; Poaceae. The record is from RNAcentral.
UCAGUUUGUAUAAUUUAUUAUAAUUUUCCAUAUCUUAGUAGCACAAGGGUUUGGCACAUGAAAGUACAUUGUAUCCAUCAUUUCCAUAGCAUUCACCAUUCGCAACAGCACCAUAUGGAACGGUCGCAAUGACUUUUUUCAAAGUUGUAACCACGCCAUUCACAGCUAAGCUUGCACAUAGCAACAUUGUUGGGCGUUGGUAUCUGGCAUGCUCGGAAAGGAGUACACGAAGUCCACAAUCCAGUUGUACCUACAAACAACAAGGUAUAUAUAGCAUCCCCGUUCAUAUUAGCAUAUGUAGUAUAAGUUGCAUGAGUUUAGAUUAUAUGAAUAUCCAAGGUACAUCAUACAUAAUUGGACUAUUGUAAACAUAAACAAAGAGUGUACCUCUGUUUAUCGUAGUUGCUUGACAUGACCAUAAAGUGCUAGACAUCAUCAGAAGAACUACGAAACAUAUAGCCUAUGUGUUGUUCUUGAUAGGUGCCAUGAGGAGUGGUUUCUUAUUCCUUUUUCCUCCUAUACCUGUAUUCUUUAUGGGCGAUAUCUCUCAACCUAUAUUUCUUAUUGUGUUAUUUAUUAGAGGCAUAAAUCUCGAAGGACCCAUUCUUGCUCUUAUAUUAUUUCUCACAUUUAUGUUUUGAUCAUCAUGUGUUUAUAUAUAGUCACUUGAUGUCCGCAAGGUCACUAUAGCAUUUAGAUAUGAUAUAUCAAAAUAUAUCUUGUGGAGAACAUGUUACUAAAUGCAACCUAGAUUUUGAUAUUUGAAAUUAAUCACUACUCUGAAAUACCAUACAUAUAGCACAUUAAGUUGUGCCCCCGCAAAAAAAGCAUAUUAAAUAUGUAUCUUCAGUAGUAGUUGUUCUAUCAUGUAGCAUAGUAGACCCAUGUAAGAAAAACAUAUCGGAUAAUAAUCACAACAUUAUUUCUUUAGGAUUCCACAACAUUAAACCAUUAUAUUAUGUCUUUAGCACUCAAUGUAACAAGCAGAAAAGGCCACCCGAAAUAGUUAGAAAUAAGCCUGUAGAUAACCUCUACUACCGGGUUUUGCAUGCACGCAGUUUGCAAAAGGGACACGAAAGAAAGUUGACCCCUUUUUCUUUGAGCAAAAAAACCCUUGUCUUGUGGGCAGAGAUAGGCCCAGAUACACAAGGCCGCAACACGGGGCUUGAUUAUAUUUACGACAGAUAUGUUCACUAGCCCACCAACUUGCCUUUCCUUCGCUUCGAGGUUUUCUUAGUGGAAUUCCCUAUUUGCCGCUCAUUACGUCGAACUGUCGAUGCAAAGCACAGAGCUGGGGAUUGAAGCGCUCACAUGGGCCGGCCCGUUAAUCAAUUGGGUCACUUUCUGGUUUUGGGAACCUUCUAGAGUUUCCUAGCCGAGUUUUUCUGGUUUUGGGAAACUUCUAGAAGGUUCCUUGAACCGUAUUUCUUUUUGUCGAUAUUUCUGUUUCUUUUUUUUUUCUUUUUUUAUUUCUUUUCAUUUCCUUUUCUAUUUCUUUUUUUUCAUUUCCUUUAUAUUUCAAGUCCAUUUUUUUAAAACAAAUCAGGUUUCAAAUUUUGUUCAGAAACUGAAAAAAAAUCGUACUUUUACAGUAUUUUCAAUUUUGUAAAAAAUUUCGUGCUUUCAAAAAUUGUUCAUAAAUUCAAAUAAUGUUCGCAUUUUCAAAAAAUUGUACGGGCAUUUCAAAAAGUGUUCCCAUUUUCCAUAAAUUGUUCAGAAUAUUUUUUUUAUUUUUUGUAACUUUUCAAAUAAUGACUGGGAUUUAAAAAAUGUUUAUGUUUUAAAAAAUUGUUCUUGUUUCCAAAUUUUGCUGACAUAUUCAAAAAUGUUCAUGUUCCAAAUUUGAUUGGAAUUUUUAAAAUUGUUCUCUGUUUCUAACUUUGGUCUAAAAAUGUUCUUGUUUCCAUUUCUGUUUCUUUCUUUGUUUCUUUUUAAUUUUUAUGUUUUUUUCGAAAAAAUUUCAUUUUUCAAAAAUUGUUCGUAACCUUUAAAAAGUUGUUCCCACUUUUAAAAAACGUUCAUUUUUUUAAAAAUGUUCGUGUUUUCCAAAUUUGUUCAUAAAUUCAAAAAAUGUUUGCAUUUUAAACAAAAUGUUUUGGAAUUUAAAAAAUGUUGCCUUUUAAAAAAAGGUUUGUCUUUGCAAAUGGCAACCCCUCGCAAUGAACGUUCGCCAGCUAUUGCAGUCUAAAAGAUGAUGUGUCCAGAUCUGUAGUCUGAAGAGGUGUGAGCGUUUUGUAAAAUAUUGACAAUUUUAAAAACUGCACACGAUUUUGUUUACAAGAUUUUGACAAAUUUGAUGUAUUUUAGUUUUAUUUGAAAUAAACAAAUAUUUUCCUUUUAGGGGAAAGUGAAAACCUGUAAAAGCAUAUAAAAUCACUAGAAACACAUAGCGUCAUUUAGGAGCUCCCUUUGCUGAUCUGUUGCAAUAUAGAUCUUGAGUCAUCUUAUAACUCACUCACUGCAAUGUUAUUGAUGGCAAAACGCACAUGGAAAAAGGAUUUCCUUCUUGAGCCACGUGGCUCAGAUCGCUCCCAAUUUUCUUUCUCUUUUUUUAUCCAGAUUUCCGUCAGUUUAAACCAAAAAAUAGCUCUCUUGCUUAUGUAGUUAAAUUCAAAAAAUAUCAAACAGUGAUAUAAAAGUACAUGAUUUUACAUGAAUAAUUAAACUGUUUGUGAAUUUUCAAAAAUGAUCUUGAAUUAACAAAAUGUUCAUAGGUGUAAACAUAUGUUCUUCUUUAUAAAAAUGCUUAGGAAUUUAUAAAAUUGUGGAAUUUAUAAAAAUACGAAAUUCAAUAAUGUUCUAUAAUCUUCAAAAAAUGUUGGUGUUUUUAAAAAACACGUAUUUCAACAAUAAUUGUAGUUUGAAAAGGAUUAUGUAUUUCAUAAUAUAUUCUUUAAUUUCAAAAUUGUACAUAAUUUUAAUAAAUGUUCAUGAAGUUGAAAUUCAUAAAUAAAAAUAAAAAGUAUAGAGAAAAAUCAGAUGGAAAUCCUAGAAAACCACAAGAACAUGGGGCGUGAUGUGCACUCUACCUAUGCAUUAAUCGAAUACUUUUUUGCAAUGAGCGACAACUACAUUUUACAAUGGCUUGCUACACGCAUGAGCUGUUGCUCCCAUGUCCUAGUAGAUCGGGAUCGCGCCUUGACGCGAGGGUGCCGGUCCCAAUGUUUUGCCGAAGCACUAUUUUAGUAUAAACCCAGGUAUAGUAUUUGCACUUAUAUAGAAUAAUAAAGCAAAUUUAGAUAGAAGUAAAACAAAAUGAAUCUCAAUACCGACAUGAGAUUAUAAGGCAGGAUCAAACUAAGUGUGUUCAUAAGACCAUAAAAGAUGGCCACUCAACAUAAAAUUCGAUACCAAAAGCGAGAAUACAUAAAAGGUAAUAAGAACAAGAAGAUAAUAAAGGAGAGCCAAUUGUGGAGCCAUAACCACUAAGCAUACGGGAGGAGCUCCAUUGUGUUAGCCACCUCAGUCUUGCGAUGCUUGGCAUCCUGUAGCCACCUCUUUCUUCAGAUUUUGGAGCCUCUUAGAAUAUAUAAAUGGUAUAGGUGCCCUGUCAAGGAAAAAAAAUAGAUAAAUACAGAUUGUGUGUCUUAUUUUUAUUGUGGUGUCAAUCGAGGAAAAAGGAUGAUGCACGACUACAGAACACCAAACUACAAUCCGAUGAUCAACCAACUAUACAAAUCAUAGAGGGAUCUCCUGGGCACUAAGCCCUUAUAAAAGGGUUUCAAGGUAUCCACUUUAUCACCAGCCUACAAAUAAAAUAUAUAAGGUGGGGGCAAGGGAAGGACUAAAAUAAAAAGAAGUACUCGCUUGGUAAUGCAUACUGGAAAGACAUGUUGCUGGUAAGGAUCUCCUCUACUCAGGAAAAAUAAAAAGAUAGGAGGCGCGUGGUGCCUGCCUCAACAUAUUGUCCAUGUGCUUAAACAAAGCAUUUAGUGUUGUCAAAUGGGAAUUAGAACGAUUGCUUGGGAUGAAUCAGCCCUUGCCAAAUGGAAACUAAAAUAAUUGUGCAGGAUAGAUCAACCCAAUACAGUAAGUUUAGAUCAAUAGCAAUACAGAAGGGUGAGACAGCCUGUUAUACCAAAAGUAAGGCAAGCCAGAAGUUCAUGACAAAGGGGAGACAUAUAUUUGGUGGCAAAAGUAAGCCAAAAUGAUGGGUUCUUGUUAAGUAGAUAAAAUAGUUGGGUUAUUAGAUAGCGAAAGCAAGCCAGAGUAGCGAAUAAGAUUCCUAUAUAGUUUUAACAAUCCUAUGUAGUUCUGCUAUAAUUAAAGAACCAGUGAUGCAUCAAUAUAACUAAUAUACAGUAGUUAACAUGAAGAAUGCCGAGCAGUGCCCUUUUACAAAAGGAGAGGACAAUCAGAUGUUCGCAUAACACAUCACAGCAGCUAGUGGUAUGACACAUCGUUUGGAAGUUAUUGGGGCCAAAGCCAACCAUAUAGCUAAGAGAAAAAGCGCCUGCACAUGAAGCAUUGUCACUAACCCUGAAUGAAGGGUUCUACUUUCAAGUGUUUGUGAAGAACAUGGUGUAUAAGUCACAGCCCAGGAUCACCGCGACACUUUAAUCUCAACAUCAAUACACUUCCAAUACCACUAAGGGAAAAUAGAGUUAAAAUUCAUGUGAGAACAAAAUAGAAACAACUGUGGUCAAAAUGCAUAAUCCUUGCUCAAAUCAAAUUGAUAAUCACCAGAUGGUAUAUAUUUUGGCUCCCUCCCAGAUCAAAUUAAUUUACACUUAUGGAGGAUUGUUAUUAACAAAGUAACCGACAAAGAAGUGAUCGCCAGUUGCACUGUCUACUUAUGUCUUUAUGAAUGCAAAUGCAAGUGGAAGCUACCAAGGUUCGGUAAAUAGGGAUUGACCAGUAGCUUUUUUCCGAACUGGAAGGAACAAAGUCUCACUUCUAGCCAAACCGAGUGGAGAGCACAUCCUAUCAUUCUUUUGAUCUCUAGAUUUCAUCCAAUUGAGAUUUUCAUUCCGUCAUUUCAAGGAAAUGGUGUACACCAAUUUAAGAAGUUUAGGAGUAUGUCCUAAAAGAAGUUUCAGGUGUGCAUAUCGUUACAAGCUUGAAAUACUGACAUAAAAGCUUGAAAUAUGAGAUUGUGCAUGUAGAAAUAAAUAAGAAAUUAUAUGUCAAACAAAUUUAUGUUUUCUGCCAUUCCAGAAAUUCUAAUUUCUUAAUGAGCCGACUUGCAUACGUCUCUCUCCGAAGGAAAGACCAUUUCUAAUUACAGAAAAGGGAUAUGUACAAUGGUAGACAUAUGUGUUGGUCGAUAAUACCUCAAAUGGCGCACCACUAAGAUUUUCCAUUACCAGCUUCUUAUGGAUCAGUGAUACAGAGCUCUCUGCUUGUGCCUGGCUUGGCAGCUUCCUCUAGACCAGCAAUAAAAUUAAUAGAUUAAGAGAGUACCUCAGCAAACUCAAGAUUAAUUUAUACUCCAUAAACUAAUAUAAGUUCAGGGAGGUAGUACCUAAACAGAUCCAUAAAAUCUUUUAUUCUUUCCAGAAAAUGUAGAAUUAUCCAACAUGUAAGGGGUGAACCACCAUCACGACACCAGCAUCUAGAAUAAGUUGAUUUGCAGAAGCAUUGCCACUAAGAAUAAUGCAUAACAAUGAUUUUUUUUCCCUACAUAUAAGGGGAGGCCUCAAACUUAAUCCUUUACUUCCAUAGCACAUCAUACAAUGCCCCCUUAAAAGAGUUCUUCGAAAUAGCAUGCAAGCUCCAUAUCGAAUGGGGAGCAACGGAGGAGGCCACCCGCGACCAUGGCGUCCGACCAAGGCAUCGUUGUUCCGUCCAGCUCGGCCAUGUGCGGGGCGUGACAUCAUUGUGUAGGUACCGGUGGUCGUCCUCAUCCAUGGAGGAUUCCUGCUGCUCCGAUUCAAAGAAACAAGUAAGGGGAUCAAUCAAUCCAUGGAGAGAAGGAAGACAAGGAGACACGCACGUACACAUACUGCUGCUAGUAUAUAAAGAAAUCAACCAAGCCGUAUGUGUGUGUGCUUGAGUACGUGUGUGGUUGGGCUCCUGGAGUACACGAGCUAGUGUUCUAAUUAAACUGAAAUAGAGCAUGCCAUAGGAGAGCAACCUAGAGCACAGAGCAUGCCACAAGAAAGCAACCUAGAGCAGAGCAACUAUAACUUGGAAAAAUCUCACAACCGAGAGAGAGGGAUGGACCUAGUUUGUCAAUCUACCAUGCAUCGUUACUCUAUAAUUUAUAGAGCUGGCAGCCUAACAUGCUACUGCCAUCAGCGGUAACCAAUGAAAUUAGAAAAGCACCGAAACUACUAAUUCUAACCAAAGAAGUUUGAGGAACAUAUUUCUCUUUGUUUUACAAUCUGAAAACGGCUAUUCUGGAGUGUGCAGUGGUCACUCAAAAUAAAGAAUACAUAUACCUGACCUGCGAAAAACAACUGGCACAACGCAAUGGUCCUUAAUCGGUUAUCCAUAAUAUAGACAAACAAAUAUGAAUCAGGAACCAAGCAGUUUAAUUGGUUGCAAAUUAAAGGACCCUUAGAAUCCGCUUUUAGAUGGCAAACAAUAAACUAUGGCAAUAAAAAAUCAGUAGCCAAAACCCAUAGGACGGAUAAUAGCAUCAGUCAUUCCUUCAACCAAAGCAUCAUAUAUCAUCGAUCUACAUUAUAAGGAGAACUAUGUAUGAGAAUGUGAACCAGAGUUAUACCCCUUGCAUCAUGUAAUUCUUUGGAGUUAGACUCUUUCAAAAUAUUAUCACACAGGGUGCCCAAAAAUAUAUAUUACCACAAUACAUCUAUUCAUCCAUUAAUAAUGAAAAUACUAAUACAUAACUUCCACCUAGAGUAGCAUGGAAUUGCACAAAUAAUACAUAGCAAGAGAUUCAUUAUUUCAAUGCAUGAUAAGUUACGAAAUAGAUCAUCUAAACAAACAAAAUAAUGUUUGUUUGUGCCACUUAUUAUUACUGUUAUCGUGGUACCCACAAUAAGGUGGAAAUGUUAGCUUAUUCAAGGGGGGCCUACAAACUUCGAUCCCAUGAUGGCUAAAAUGGUUUUGGAUCAAUGAAGCUUACAACUGGUAAAUCAGGUGAGCUAGUAAGUAUGGCAAACGAAAAUCAAAGUAGAAUGAUCCCAAAAUGUCUUUUGUUACACUAUUACAAAGCAAGUUAACCGAUCUUAGAUCUUGUGACCAUGAAUCCAAACCUCUACUGAUUACUCUUAAAUUCAUAUCAAAGUGAAGAGAGCUAAUUAUUUAUGUGUGGCGCAUUCAGAGAAUUGAUGUGGCUAUUCAUAAAAUCAAAAUUAAGAUCCAUUCUCUCUAGAAGUAACUAAAAUGAAAGAGGAACAGAGAAUAAUAUCUUGUGCCAGAUUGGGAUUAAUGCACUGAUGAGAGACUCGAACAAUGAAACACAUGCAAAAAUGUUCUCUUGAUGCCCAUUUACUCCUAGGAGUACUACUGAACCUAACUGAAUUUAGGAGUAUUUACAAAACCUAGUAGUACUACUGAACCUAAUCGAACCCAAGUGCAUGUGUGGUGUACUAAAUGUAGGAGCUGCGUGUUUGUACUCCAUGGAUGCAAAUCAAAGGAGUUGGAGCCGUGUGUUUGUACUCCAUAGACGUAUUAUAAACUUUGUAGUCCAUGGGAAAUGAACAUAGCUGCAAAUUAAGAAAAACAAAGCAGUCGAGGAGAGAACGAGCUCACCUAUGAGGUUGCAGCCGAGGCAGUAGCACAGCUCGUCGCUGCAACUGAGCUCGACACGCUACCUCCAUGUGUCCGGCCUUUUCCGCGAGUUGCCCCAUGCGUCCAGCCUCCUCCGAGCACUGUCUCCUCACAAACAAGUAGGGGUAGAAAAAACAUGAAUUGUAACUUAUCAACCGAGCGGCAGCAACAAUCAGCGACAUAUCACCGAUCAACAACAGGACACUAACCGAAAAACGCAGCCAAUAGCAAAAUCAGGAGCAGGAUAAAACUAAUAAUAUAAUGAAAAGAAUGCCCACAAGAGAAGCAUGCACAAUCCUAUGAAAUCAGAAUCAAUUAGUUCACCUACUGACACCCAUCUACCAGGAUCAAACAAGGCGUCCAGGAUCAAACAAACAAAGCAAGGAAAGAUACAGCCCCUUCCUUGCAAUCUAGCUAGACCGCUAAUGUAACAACAAAGUUUCUAGAAGAAUCUAACAGCAAUCAUAUAUAAAAAAAGCGCAAGUAAAUAUGGUCAUGCAUAUUUUGAAGCCACCAAAGCUGUCCUUAUGUCGAAAAUUGAAAUAAACGAUGGUACAAAGAGGAGAAAUAAUGAAAAUAACAUGAAGGAGUCAGAACCCAGAAAUCAUAUGUAACUAAACUAUGAGAAACCAUGUAUAUUACCUCAAGAAUCUAUAUAGACCUAAGCUUCUCUUUAACAGGCAGAAAACCAAGCAAUAAAACAGAUAGCCUAGCUAAAUCCAAGGACCUACUUGACGGCAAGGCACCAACAAAACAAGAAAGCCCCCCAAAAGUCCUCCUCUGGAACCUAGCUACCUAAGAAUCUGCUGCACAAGAAGAAACCCAAGGCAUUUUUGCUAGCCAGUCCUACAAAAUGGUACAUGAACAUAAGAGGGGAAGGAGCUCAACCAGCAGGAGCAUGACCAGUGCGGCCACACGCGGCAGAGGUGAAGCAUAGAUCGCUCGGAAUCGCGUGUGUAAGGAAGAACCCAACAACACGGUACAUGCGAGUAGCACCAGCAAACAAAUCAGUAGGUUACUUCUAGGACAUAGCACCUCGAUCACUCUUUACAUGAACAAUCCAGCAUUAUCUACUAAAAAACUAUCAACAAAAAUCUUGUAGCAUUAUUAUUUGUAGCAUGUAAGAACAAAUAGCUGCAAAUGGUAACUUGCGAAAAAAUAGAAGUAGUAGUGUCACAGCAAAUUAAAACAAGCCAUUCAACCAUUGCGGGGAGCGGGUCAAAGUGCGACUUACUCUUAUAACCAGAUUAAAUCAAGGACCAACAACAAUAUAGAUACAACAAAGUGCGACUGUACAUAUUCUACAAAACACACCACUGCACCAUGUAGAUACAACACAUAUCAAUUAGAAGGGGCAACUUGUGCCCUGUUUAUGAGAGAAAGAAAUCAAAUAAUAUUUGUAACAGUAGAUUGAGAUAUGAUGAGAAUACCUAAUCAGUAAAGCAUCACUACCCAACCAUAAGCAUAAAGGAAGUAAUAUGAGCUGAAAUCUCUGAUGGCAUAAAAAAUUAGAGCAUGUCUGACAUAACAUUUUGAAGUUACAAAUGGUAAAUAAACUACAACCAAGAAACAGAACAUUAAGUAGCUAGAGAGUAUACACUACUUUCUAAUAGGAAAGAAUGUAAUUUAAUCGGUAAGGUACUGUCACUGUCUCCAACAUGAAAAAACGAAGAAACCUUUUGUAAUCAGUAUCUACCAUGCUCAUGUUUCUUCUGUAUUCAGUACAGUAGCUGCAACCAUGCGCAUAUCACCGAGCAGGAAAAAGAGAGAAGGUUACGGCUUACUUAACAUUUGCCAAUUGAUGCUGCCUGCACCCAUACUUUAUGAAUCUGCUGCUUCUAAUUCUGUUACAACCUGCCACUCCUCAUUAUAUGUUGCCCCAUCAUUUUCCUGCAACGCAUCUAUAUAACAAAAAGCACCACAUCAAGUGAGGUACGAAAAUAGCAGAUAGCAAAGCAACAUGAGAAUAGUAGUCAAGUAUAUUGGCAUACCUUUAAUUCUCAAAUAGUUGAUUGGUUCAUGACGAUGGUUCGAGGAGAAAGCUGCAAUUGAAAAAAUAAAGAUAUUCUUACAAAGAAGGCCCAAAGGUUUAAGCAGGAUAUGGUAAUAAAUAUACAUAAUAUGUAAACUUCAAAACUAUUGCAGAGAGAUAAAUGUGGUUUUGGAAGAAACAUGUUCCUAGAUAGGCAGAGUCUAAUUGUAGUAGCAUAUCAUUGUGAGACGAAUGCACUUUUUUAACUUCUCCCUAGCCUACCCAUGUGGUUCCAGAGGGUAACACAUUCAUUAAAUGCAAACUCGAUAGCAGAAUUUUCCCUCAUGACACAGAGCUUUUCCCAAGUGCACCAUAUAUCCUGAUUUGGAAUGUUCUAAAUCCAAGAAUAUAAUGUAUGAUAGUUUAUCAUCAAUACUGAUGAUAUAGAGACAAAGAUGAGAGCUAGGAACCAUGCCAAUUAGCUUGGAUGGGCUCCCCACUGUUUGAUCUGCUUCAACAUUGCAAAGGGAGGUUCUUCAGUACUUCUCAAGCUUCUAGAUUCCCUGCAGCUGCAAUAGGCUCAACCUUAAUUGUCUUCCAUUCAGUACUAUCUAAGUGUGCGGGCGAGUGAGGCUUGCAGGCGAUGUAUGAAACAAGUGCAAGACGCUAUAAAAAUAGUACUAUGUCUGUAUCUGUGGUAGUAGAUAAAAGUAACAUUAGUAUCAGUACUAAUUCUAAGUAUAUCAGAACAUGCAAAGAACAUAUGUAGUAGUAAUAGCCAGGUAGGCAUAGUUGCCAGAUUCGGUGGGUUUGAUUUGGGGAAACAAUGCAUUGGCAAGGCAACAGGCGAGGGAUGGAUGGAUGGAUGGAUGGACUUACGAUUUUGUCGAGCUCCCGGGUCUUGCGCAUCAGCUCCUCCUUGAGCCGGCUAUUCUCCUCAAGCUGCGGUGGCGUGGGAGGGGGAGAAUGGAUGACUGAGUCAGUGAUAUUGGCAGGGGUGAGAAAAGAGAUGGGCGAGGGGAGGGGGGAGGUGUCCUGGUGAUGGAUGGUGGCCUCGGCGUCCUCGACGGCGCGCAUGACCUGGAAGAGGUUGCCGGUGCCAGCGGCGUCGUCGGAGUCCUGGCACGCGGUGGCCAGCUCAUCGGCGUCGGCCAUGGCGCGGUGAUGGCGAUGCGGGUGGGGUACGGGGAGGAGAUGGGAGCACGGCGAGGGAGGCGGAACCCUAGGGAGGGGAGGGGAGGGGAGGCGGCUCCUCAAGUGGCUGGUCGCGCUGCUGGUGGAGACGAGACGGGAGUGGGGGAGGGAGGGGAUUCGCGCUCUCUCUCUCUNNNNNNNNNNAAACAGAUAGCCUAGCUAAAUCCAAGGACCUACUUGACGGCAAGGCACCAACAAAACAAGAAAGCCCCCCAAAAGUCCUCCUCUGGAACCUAGCUACCUAAGAAUCUGCUGCACAAGAAGAAACCCAAGGCAUUUUUGCUAGCCAGUCCUACAAAAUGGUACAUGAACAUAAGAGGGGAAGGAGCUCAACCAGCAGGAGCAUGACCAGUGCGGCCACACGCGGCAGAGGUGAAGCAUAGAUCGCUCGGAAUCGCGUGUGUAAGGAAGAACCCAACAACACGGUACAUGCGAGUAGCACCAGCAAACAAAUCAGUAGGUUACUUCUAGGACAUAGCACCUCGAUCACUCUUUACAUGAACAAUCCAGCAUUAUCUACUAAAAAACUAUCAACAAAAAUCUUGUAGCAUUAUUAUUUGUAGCAUGUAAGAACAAAUAGCUGCAAAUGGUAACUUGCGAAAAAAUAGAAGUAGUAGUGUCACAGCAAAUUAAAACAAGCCAUUCAACCAUUGCGGGGAGCGGGUCAAAGUGCGACUUACUCUUAUAACCAGAUUAAAUCAAGGACCAACAACAAUAUAGAUACAACAAAGUGCGACUGUACAUAUUCUACAAAACACACCACUGCACCAUGUAGAUACAACACAUAUCAAUUAGAAGGGGCAACUUGUGCCCUGUUUAUGAGAGAAAGAAAUCAAAUAAUAUUUGUAACAGUAGAUUGAGAUAUGAUGAGAAUACCUAAUCAGUAAAGCAUCACUACCCAACCAUAAGCAUAAAGGAAGUAAUAUGAGCUGAAAUCUCUGAUGGCAUAAAAAAUUAGAGCAUGUCUGACAUAACAUUUUGAAGUUACAAAUGGUAAAUAAACUACAACCAAGAAACAGAACAUUAAGUAGCUAGAGAGUAUACACUACUUUCUAAUAGGAAAGAAUGUAAUUUAAUCGGUAAGGUACUGUCACUGUCUCCAACAUGAAAAAACGAAGAAACCUUUUGUAAUCAGUAUCUACCAUGCUCAUGUUUCUUCUGUAUUCAGUACAGUAGCUGCAACCAUGCGCAUAUCACCGAGCAGGAAAAAGAGAGAAGGUUACGGCUUACUUAACAUUUGCCAAUUGAUGCUGCCUGCACCCAUACUUUAUGAAUCUGCUGCUUCUAAUUCUGUUACAACCUGCCACUCCUCAUUAUAUGUUGCCCCAUCAUUUUCCUGCAACGCAUCUAUAUAACAAAAAGCACCACAUCAAGUGAGGUACGAAAAUAGCAGAUAGCAAAGCAACAUGAGAAUAGUAGUCAAGUAUAUUGGCAUACCUUUAAUUCUCAAAUAGUUGAUUGGUUCAUGACGAUGGUUCGAGGAGAAAGCUGCAAUUGAAAAAAUAAAGAUAUUCUUACAAAGAAGGCCCAAAGGUUUAAGCAGGAUAUGGUAAUAAAUAUACAUAAUAUGUAAACUUCAAAACUAUUGCAGAGAGAUAAAUGUGGUUUUGGAAGAAACAUGUUCCUAGAUAGGCAGAGUCUAAUUGUAGUAGCAUAUCAUUGUGAGACGAAUGCACUUUUUUAACUUCUCCCUAGCCUACCCAUGUGGUUCCAGAGGGUAACACAUUCAUUAAAUGCAAACUCGAUAGCAGAAUUUUCCCUCAUGACACAGAGCUUUUCCCAAGUGCACCAUAUAUCCUGAUUUGGAAUGUUCUAAAUCCAAGAAUAUAAUGUAUGAUAGUUUAUCAUCAAUACUGAUGAUAUAGAGACAAAGAUGAGAGCUAGGAACCAUGCCAAUUAGCUUGGAUGGGCUCCCCACUGUUUGAUCUGCUUCAACAUUGCAAAGGGAGGUUCUUCAGUACUUCUCAAGCUUCUAGAUUCCCUGCAGCUGCAAUAGGCUCAACCUUAAUUGUCUUCCAUUCAGUACUAUCUAAGUGUGCGGGCGAGUGAGGCUUGCAGGCGAUGUAUGAAACAAGUGCAAGACGCUAUAAAAAUAGUACUAUGUCUGUAUCUGUGGUAGUAGAUAAAAGUAACAUUAGUAUCAGUACUAAUUCUAAGUAUAUCAGAACAUGCAAAGAACAUAUGUAGUAGUAAUAGCCAGGUAGGCAUAGUUGCCAGAUUCGGUGGGUUUGAUUUGGGGAAACAAUGCAUUGGCAAGGCAACAGGCGAGGGAUGGAUGGAUGGAUGGAUGGACUUACGAUUUUGUCGAGCUCCCGGGUCUUGCGCAUCAGCUCCUCCUUGAGCCGGCUAUUCUCCUCAAGCUGCGGUGUCGUGGGAGGGGGAGAAUGGAUGACUGAGUCAGUGAUAUUGGCAGGGGUGAGAAACAGAGAUGGGCGAGGGGAGGGGGGAGGUGUCCUGGUGAUGGAUGGUGGCCUCGGCGUCCUCGACGGCGCGCAUGACCUGGAAGAGGUUGCCGGUGCCAGCGGCGUCGUCGGAGUCCUGGCACGCGGUGGCCAGCUCAUCGGCGUCGGCCAUGGCGCGGUGAUGGCGAUGCGGGUGGGGUACAGGGAGGAGAUGGGAGCACGGCGAGGGAGGCGGAACCCUAGGGAGGGGAGGGGAGGGGAGGCGGCUCCUCAAGUGGCUGGCCGCGCUGCUGGUGGAGACGAGACGGGAGUGGGGGAGGGAGAGGAUUCGCUCUCUCUCUCUCUCUGUUCAUAGGAGGUGGCGGACCCUCCCUCUGCUGCUGCUCAUCGUUGUUGGGGAGGGAGGAGGGGGCUUUGUUGAGGUGGAUCUNNNNNNNNNNGGCUCCUCUUUGAUCCGACAGCGCAGGUCAUCCGGCGGCUCGAUCCGACGGCCAAGAUCAGAUUAAGCAACCAGAUCCAACGGCCAGGAAUGCCAAGCGGCUGAGGAGGCUGGAGGAUGACUGGAAUCCUUAUUUCUCGAUUCGUUUGCCCCAUGCGAGUGCAUCCCCCAAAGGCCGCAACCUCUUCUACACCACCGCUUAUGGUUGAAGUUGUUGCCGUCCUCCCCCUGCUUCUUGGACGGUUCGCCUCUGCUUGAGCAUGACUGCGGCGUCCCGCCCAAUUGGCCUUGACAAUGCUCCUCGGCCUCAGCUAAAGCCACUGGCCCGUUCCACUGAUGUUUAGAAUUGCUGCUCAUGCAUCUGCUUGCCACUUUGCCGACAAUGCUACUCGUCGACCCGUGCAACUCUAGCAUGUUGGCUACUUGUCGCGUGCCUCUUGGACCAGAUAGUUUCUAAAUCGAUGCAUUGAAGUUAAACUACAUAGUUGACCUUUUAAGUUUGGGAGCACUUGGUCAGGCAGCUAAAAACUGGUUUUGUUUCAGUUGAUUUGCUCUCCCUCUUUCAACUAUCUUAUUUAAAUCCAAAGCCUCAUGUUUUUCAUCCUCCUGCCAUCGAAGCGACAAUGUUCUUUUUGAUGGAAAUAUUCCCUAGAGGCAAUAAUAAAAUGGUUAUUAUUAUAUUUCCUUAAUCAUGAUAAAGGUUUAUUAUUCAUGCUAGAAUUGUAUUAAUCAGAAACUUAAAUACAUGUGUGGAUACAUAAACAAAUACCAUGUCUCUAGUGAGCCUCUACUAGACUAGCUUGUUGAUCAAAAGAUGGUUAAGGUUGCCUAACCAUAGACAUGUGUUGUCACUUGAUAACGGGAUCACAUCAUUAGGAGAAUGAUGUGAUGGACAAGACCCAUCUAUUAGCUUAGCAUCUGAUCGUUCAGUUUAUUGCUACUGCUUUCUUAAUGCCAAAUACAUGUUUCUUCAACCAUGAGAUCAUGCAACUCCCGUAUAUCGGAGGAAUACCUUGUGUGCUAUCAAAGGUCACAACAUAACUGGGUGAUCAUAAAGAUGCUCUACAGGUAUCUCCGAAGGUGUCUGUGGAGUUGGCGUGAAUCGAGAUUGGAAUUUGUUACUCCGUAUGGCGGAGAGGUAUCUCUGGGCCCUCUCAGUAAUACACAUCACAAGAAGCUUGCAAGAAAAAUGACUAAGGAGUUAGUUACGAGAUGAUGUAUUACGAAACGAGUAAAGAGACUUGCCGGUAAUGAGAUUGAACUAGUUAUGGAGAUAUCAACGAUCGAAUCUCGGGCAAGUAACAUACCGACAGACAAAGGGAAUUACGUAUGCUGUCAUAACGGUUUGAUCGAUAAAUAUCUUUGUAGAAUAUGUAGGAACCAAUAUGGGCAUCCAAGUUCCGCUAUUGGUUAUUUACCGGAGAGGUGUCUCGGUCAUGCCUACAUAGUUCUCGAAGCCAUAGGGUCCACACUUUUAACGUUCGUUGAUGAUAUAGUGUUCUAUGAGUUAUAUUAUUUGGUGACGGAAUGUUGUUCGGAGUCCCGGAUUAGGUCAUGGACAUGACGAGGAGCUCCGGAAUGGCCCGGAGGUAAAGAUCAAUAUAUAGGUCGAUGAUAUUUGGACACCGGAAGAGUUUUGGGAGGUACCGGGUAGUCAUCGGAUCAUCAGAAGUGGUUCCGGGAAGCCCCGGGAUGCUAUAUGGCUUAAUGGGCCAAAGGAGGAACACACCAGCCCACAAGGGGCUGGUGCGCCCCUCUCCCUGGCCGCCGGCCCUAGGGGAAGGAAAGGGGGAGGGUUGGCCCCUCCUUCCUUUCCCUCCUCAUGAGAGANNNNNNNNNNNNNNNNNNNNNNNNNNNNNNNNNNNNNNNNNNNNNNNNNNNNNNNNNNNNNNNNNNNNNNNNNNNNNNNNNNNNNNNNNNNNNNNNNNNNNNNNNNNNNNNNNNNNNNNNNNNNNNNNNNNNNNNNNNNNNNNNNNNNNNNNNNNNNNNNNNNNNNNNNNNNNNAGGGGGCGCCACACAAGGACCACGUCGAUCUCUUAGCCGUGUGCGGCACCCCUCUCCAUAGUUUCAUCCAUCAGUCAUAUUUUCAUAGUGCUUAGGUGAAGCCUUGCGUAAAUAGCAUCACCACCACCAUCACCACUUCGCCCGUCUUGCUGGAUCAAGAUGGCGAGGACGUCACCGAGAUGAACAUGUGCGUCACCGAGAUGAACUUGAUCGGUUGGACCGUGAAGAAGUUCGACUAUAUCAAUUGCGUUAAUAAACGCUUCCGCUUACGGUCUACGAGGGUACAUAGACACACUCUCCCCUCUUGUUGCUAUGCAUCUCCAUGGAUACAUCUUGCGUGUGCAUAUUUUUUUUUUGUUUUCCAUGCGACGUUCCCCAACACUUCUUCCUCACUGAACCUAUGAUUUCUCUCCCUCCUAUUGAUAAUCCCCAAGUGCAGGGAAUCAUAGUAGCAAUUCCCAAAGGUGGAAGUGAUAAGUAUGGAGUGUCGAACCCACAAGGAGCUAAAGGUAAGAUCAAUAUUCUCUCAAGCCCUAUCUGCCACUGAUACGACUCUAGUGCACCGAACGUUUGCUUCCAACUAGCAACGAGAAAUAAAACUAUGUUGUGGGUAUGUAGAGGAUAACUUUGUAUGAUAUCGGAGAGCUAAAACAUAAAAGUAGGUGUUGUUAUCAUAAAGUUAGAAUAUAAUACUAAAUAUUAUAAAUAGCGAGUGUGGAAUAAUGGUGGAUCGGUGUGCGGAAUUGUCCUAGGCAAUAGUUAACAAGACUGAUAAUCACUAUUGCAGUUUCAUAUGAGGGAGAGGCAUAAGCUAACAUACUUUCUCUUCUUGGAUCAUAUGCACUUAUGAUUGGAACUCUAGCAAGCGUCGUCAACUACUGAAGAUCAUAAAGGUAACAACCAACCAUAGCAUUAAAGCAUCAAGUCCUCUUUAUUCCCAUACACAACAACCUACUUACUCGGAUUUGUGUUUUAGUCACUCACGCAACCCACUAUAAGCGAAUCAUGAACGUAUUGCAACACCCUACAGCGGGAAUCCCUCAUGCUUGCGCGACACGGAGGGCACCAUAGGAUAGCAUCAAAGUAAAACAUACAACUCAUACCAAUCUAAAUCAUCAAUCAACCCAAAGACAAAAGAUAUCUACUCAAAACAUCAUAGGAUGGCAACACAUCAUUGGAUCAUAAUAUGUGGCAUAGAGCACCAUGUUCCUGUAGGGAUUACAGCGGGGUGCGGGAGAGUGGACCGCGUAAAAGAGAUGAGGAUGGUGAUGAUGAUGGUGAUGUUGAUGAAGACGAUCACCGCGGCGAUGAUUCCCCUCCCGAUGGCACUCCGGUGCCACCAAGAGAGAGCAGGAGAGGUUCUCCCCCUUGUGCUUCCUCCUCCAUGACUUUCCCCCUCUGGUCCUUGGCCUUGAUGGUGAUGAUGGACCCUCCGAGAUCCUCCUCCAUGGCCCCCGGUGAUGAUGGCCCCCUCCGGCAGGGUGCCGGAGAGGUCCUAGAUUGAUUUCUCAUGGCUACAGAGGCUUGCGGCGGGGGAACUUAUGAUCUAGGUCAAUUCCCGAAGGUUUCUGUAUUUAUAGGAAUAUUUGGCGUUGGUUUCACGUCAGGGGGGUCUCUGGGCUGUCCACGAGAUAGGGGGCGCGCCCCCCACUCUCGUGGGCAGCCCGGGACUCUUCCGGCCCAACUCUGAUGCUCCGUGGUCUUCUUUUGGUCCAUAAAAAAUCCUCAAAAAUUGGCACGUCAAUUGGACUCCGUUUGGUAUCCCUUUUCUGUAAAACACAAAAACUAGGAGAAAACAGAAAUUGGCACUGGGCUCUAGGUUAAUAGGUUAGUCCCAAAAAUCAUAUAAAAUGACAUAUAAAUGCAUAUAAAACAUCAUAGAUGAAUAAUAUAAUAGCAUGAAUACUUCAUAAAUUAUAGAUAUGUUGGAGACGUAUCAGCAUCCCUAAGCUUAAUUCCUGCUCUUCCGCGAGUAGGUACAUGAUAAAAGAAAUAAUUUAUGAAGUGUGAAUGCUAGUAGGUGGACAAGUUUGAUCAAUGAUAAUUUCAAUCACCUUUUCUAGCAUCAAAAUGUGUCAUAAUAGUAGCUUAUCUCAUAAAACUUUUCAUGAUCAAGUAACAAUCUAUUCACAAUGUCAAGUAUGGUUCAGAAACUUCAUUGAGAACUAACAAACUAUAAUCUCAGUCAUUUAAGCAAUUGCAAUUUAUCAUAACAUCAGAAAGAGUCAAGAAUAGAGCUUUUUAGCAAGUCCACAUACUCAACUAUCAUAUAGUCUUCUACAAUUGCUAACACUCACGCAAUACUUGUGGUUAGGGAGUUUCAGCCAGACACUGAGAAAGAUAGGGGCUUAUUGUGUUGCCUCCCAACGUAUUCACCUUUAGGUGAUGUCAACUAUAAUAGCCCAUGCUAACUUACAUCCAAUUGGAUAUAUAUACCAUGAUCUUUCAAACACAAGGAGCUUGCCAAAGGACAAAAUGAAAAAGGGAAAGGUGAGGAUCACCUUGACUCAAGCAUAAAGUAAAAACAUAAAGUAAAAGAUAGGCCCUUCGCAGAGGGAAGCAGAGGUUGUCUUGUGCGUUUAGGGUUGGAUGCAUAAAAUCUUAAUGCAAAAGAACGUCACUUUAUAUUGCCCCUUGUAUGUUGACCUUUAUUAUGCAGUCCGUCGCUUUUAUUGCUUCCACAACAAGAUCGUACAAAGCUUAUUUUCUCUGCACUAAUAAGUCAUACAUAUUUAGAUAGCAAUUUUUAUUGCCUGCAACAUGACCACUUGAAGGAUCUUACUCAAUCCAUAGGUAGGUAUGGUGGACUCUCAUGGCAAAACUGGGUUUAAGGAUAUUUGGAAACACAAGUAGUAUCUCUACUUAGUGCAAGGAAUUUGGCUAGCAUGAGGGGGAAAGGCAAGCUCAACAUACUUGGAAGGUCAAUGACAAUAUACUUUAACUGAGAUGUGAGAAAACACAAAUCAUUAUGUUGUCUUCCUUGUCCAACGUCAACUCUUUUAGCAUGUCAUAAUUAAUGAGUGCUCCCUAUCAUAAAAGAUGUCCAAGAUAAUAUAUUUGUAUGUGAACCUCUCUUUCCUUAUUACUUCCUAUUAAUUGCAACGAUGACCAAAACUACGUUUACCAACUCUCAACAACUUUUAUGCCUCAUACUGUUUAUAUGUGAAGUCAUUACUAUCCAUGUUAUAAGCAUAAUAAAACAUAUAGAAAUUCAGAUUCAUGACAUUCAAUUCAUUCCCCCAUUUACUCAUAGGAUGAACAUGAAGCACAUGAGUAAAUGACAAACUACUCCAAAAGAUAUGAGUGAAAGACAUGGAGUAGUCAAAUAAUUAACUAGCCAUGGGAGGGUUCCUUUUUUAUUCAAUAUUCAGAUCCAAUGAUUUUAUUCAAACAGCAAGUAAAAUCGAAAACACGCUCCAAGCAAAACACAUAUCAUGUGACGAAUAAAAAUAUAGCUCCGAGUAAGAUGUACCGAUAGUUUUGAAGACGAAAGAGGGGAUGCCUUCCGGGGCAUCCCCAAGCUUAGGCGCUUGAGUCUUCCUUGAAUAUUACCUUGGGGUGCCUUGGGAAUCCCCAAGCUUAGGGUCUUUCCACUCCUUAUUCUACUCAUAUCGAUAUCUCGCCCAAAACUUGAAAACUUCAAUCACACAAAACUUAAUGGAACUUCGUGAGAUAGGUUAGUAUGAUAAAGAGUAAACCAUGCACUUUGGUACUGUAAAAGACAAGGUUAAUAAUUGUUUUCACAUAAUGCNNNNNNNNNNUACUGUACCAUAUCAUUUCUACAAUUUAUAUUGAGAAAUAUAAGCCAUAGAAACUAGAAAACAAGCAAACUAUGCAGUGAAAACAGAAUCUGUCACAAAUAGAACAGUCUGUAAUGAUCUGAGCAAUAACCAUACUUCUGCUACUCCAAAAAUUAUGAAAUAAAUUGGUGGACAUGAGGAAUUUGUCUACUAAUCUUCUGCAAAAAGAAUAAACUCAAAGUCACACUUCUGUAAAAAAUGACAGCUAAUCUCGUGAGCGCAAAGUUUCUAUUUUUUACAGCAAGAUCACAUUAACUCUCACCCAAGUCUUCCCAAAGGUCUUACUUGGCACUUUAUUGAAACAAAAGCUAUAAAACAUGAUUACUACAGUAGCUUAAUCAUGUAGACACACAAAAACAGUCAGGAUAAAUAUUGGGUUGUCUCCCAACAAGCGCUUUUAUUUAAUGCCUUUUAGCUAGGCAUGAUGAUUUCAAUGAUGCUCGCAUAAAAGAAAAGAGUUGAAACACAAAGAGAGCAUCAUGAAGAAUAUGACUAGCACAUUUAAAUCUAACUCACUUCAUAUGCCUGGGGAUUUUGUGAGCACACAACUUAUGGGAACAAGAAUCAACUAGCAUAGGAAGGCAAAACAAGUUUAACUUCAAAACUUAAAGCUCAUAGAGAGGAAACUUGAUAUCAUUGCAACUCCUACAAGUAUAUAUUCCCCCCUCAUAAUAGUUUUCAGUAUCAUCAUGGAUAACAACCUUUUUUCUCAUACUAAAUUGGAACCUCUUCCGAAAUAGUGGAAUACUAACUAAAGUUGACACUCUUCCAAAUCCACUUUCAUGAAUAUCGUACAAUGAUUCAACACCCUCCAAGAUAGUGGGAUCACUAAUUCCUAAAGUUGACACUCUUCCAAACCCACUUUAAAUUAUAGUACUAUUCAUACUCCAAAAGAUAUAAGUGAAGUUCCUGGAGCAUUCUAUAAUUAAUAUAGACUAGCCAAUAUCCAAGCUCAAAAUAUAUAAGUGAAGCGCACGAAGCAUUCUAUAAAACCAUACUCAAACGAUAUAAGUGAAGCACAAAGAGCAAUUAUCUAAGAUCAUACUUAAAAGAUAUAAGUGAAGCUAAUGAAGUAUAAAUGAAUGAAGAGCUCUCUCAUAUAUCAUGAUUCUUGAAGAAAAAUAAAAACACAAAGGACAUGAAUCGUGUGAACAAAGCAAAAACCGAGGUAUACCGAUAUUUGUUGAGGAAGAAAGAUGGGAUGCCAACCGGGGCAUCCCCAAGCUUAGAUGCUUGAGUAUCCUUUAAAAUAUUUACUUGGGGUGCCUUGGGCAUCCCCAAGCUUGAACUCUUGUCUCUCUUUAUUCUUCUCACAUCAAUAACUCCUCGUUCUUCAAACACUUCAUUCACAAAAACUUAAAAAAAAACUUGUGAGAUCCGUUAGUGUAAUAAAGCAAACUACCACUUUAAGGUACUGUAAUUAACAAUUUAUUUAUUUUUAUUGGUGUUAAACCUACUGUAUUCCAACUUCUCUAUGGUUCAUACCCUUACAUACUAGCCAUAGAUGCAUCAAAAUAAGCAAACAAUACACGAAAAACAGAAUCUGUCAAGAACAGGACAGUCUGUAGUAAUCUGGAAGUUCAGUAAACUUCUGUAACUCCAAAAAUUAUGAAAUAAAAUUGAAAAUUUGAAAUAUUUGUACAGAAGUAAUGUGCAAAAAGUUUCAUACCCAUUUGUCUUUCCAGUAAAAAAUGUAAAUUCAUGCACUACAGCCAAAGUUUCUAUUUUUCUGCACAUAGUAAGCAAGCAAUCUUAUCAUACUAAAACCAAAGCUUGGCACACUAUUUUUAUAUUAAAAAGGAUAUAUACAAGGGUAUAAUUAUUUACAGAGAAACUUUCAUGAAAAAUUCUACAUUGUUUCCGUGAGCAUGAACUCAAGUGCUCAAGGUCGACCCUCACUUCUUCAAUGCAUAACUUUCCAAUCACUUCUCUUUUUGAAAAACUUUUUUAGGCAUGACAGGCAAGUAAUUCUUUUUUGGUAUUUUCAUUCUUUUUAAUUUUUGUGUAUGUUUCAUCCACAACUAAACAGAAACAAAAAGGGAAAAUAAAAUCUACUUAGUGAAGAAAGCAAACAAGCACACACGAGAAUAUCAACCCCACGCUAUCACUCCCCGGCAACGGCGCCAGAAAAGAGCUUGAUAAUCCCCAAGUGCAGGGAAUCAUCGUAGCAAUUCCCAAAGGUGGAAGUGAUAAAUAUGGAGUGUAGAACCCACAAAGAGCUAAAGGUAAGAUCAAUAUUCUCUCAAGCCCUAUCUGCCACUGAUACGACUCUACAUGCACCGAACAUUUGCUUCCAACUAGCAACGAGAAAUAAAACUAUGUUGUGGGUAUAUACAGGAUAACUUUGUAUGAUAUCGGAGAGCUAAAACAUAAAAGUAGGUGCUGUUGUCAUAAAGUUAGUAAAUAAUACUAAAUAUUAUAAAUAGCGAGUGUGGAAUAAUGGUGGAUCGGUGUGCGGAAUUGUCCUAGGCAAUUGUUAACAAGACCGAUAAUCACUAUUGCAGUUUCAUAUGAGGGAGAGGCAUAAGCUAACAUACUUUCUCUUCUUGGAUCAUAUGCACUUAUGAUUGGAACUCUAGCAAGCAUCCGCAACUACUAAAGAUCAUUAAGGUAAAACCCAACCAUAGCAUUAAAGCAUCAAGUCCUCUUUAUUCCCAUACGCAACAACCUACUUACUCGGUUUGUGUUUCAGUCACUCACGCAACCCACUAUAAGCGAAUCAUGAACGUAUUGCAACACCCUACAGCAGGAAUCCCUCAUGCUUGCGCGAUACAGAGGGCACCAUAGGACAACAUCAAAGUAAAACAUACAACUCAUACCAAUCUAAAUCAUCAAUCAACCCAAAGACAAAAGAUAUCUACUCAAAACAUCAUAGGAUGGCAACACAUCAUUGGAUCAUAAUAUGUGGCAUAAAGCACCAUGUUCAAGUAGGGAUUACAGCGGGGUGCGGGAGAGUGGACCGCGUAAAAGAGAUGAGGAUGGUGAUGACGAUGGUGAUGUUGAUGAAGACGAUCACCGCGGCGAUGAUUCCCCUCCCGAUGGCACUCCGGUGCCACCAAGAGAGAGGAGGAGAGGUUCUCCCCCUUGUGCUUCCUCCUCCAUGGCUUUCCCCCUCUGGUCCUUGGCCUUCAUGGUGAUGAUGGCCCCUCCGAGAUCCUCCUCCAUGGCCUCCGGUGAUGAUGGCCCCCUCCGGUAGGGUGCCGGAGAGGGCCUGGAUUGAUUUCUCAUGUCUACAGAGGCUUGCGGCGGCGAAACUUUUGAUCUAGGUCAAUUCCCGAAGGUUUCUGUAUUUAUAGGAAUAUUUGGCGUUGGUUUCACGUUAGGGGGGUCUCCGGGCUGUCCACGAGAUAGGGGGCGCGCCCCCACUCUCGUGGGCAGCCCGGGACUCUUCUAGCCCAACUCCGAUGCUCCGUGGUCUUCUUUUGGUCCAUAAAAAAUCCUCAAAAAUUGGCACGCCAAUUGGACUCCGUUUGGUAUCCCUUUUCUGUAAAACACAAAAACAAGGAGAAAACAGAAACUCGCACUGGGCUCUAGGUUAAUAGGUUAGUCCCAAAAAUCAUAUUAAAUGACAUAUAAAUGCAUAUAAAACAUCAUAGAUGAAUAAUAUAAUAGCAUGAAUACUUCAUAAAUUAUAGAUUGGAGACGUAUCACCUAUCCUUAGCUGAUUUGGCUGCCUCAAAUUCGUUGAGUACUCGUUUGAGCAAUUACCAAGGACUUACUUCUUGUUGCAUUGCUUCAAGAGAUCUUGGAUGAUAGGUCCAUAGUCCGAGAUUUGCACACCACUCGGUGGCGCAUGGUUGACUUGAUCAAUAUAACCAGGCCAUCGGUUGCAUUGGUCUUGCAUGGUACCUCCAUUGGUUACCAAGAGAGCCUUGGAUGUGGCGUUAUGUGACUUCCAUUAUGUUGAUGUAGUACUCUACAAUUCUACCCGAGAGUCGGUCCUUCGAUUGAUCUGUUCCAAUUGAUGCAUCAACUGACAUGUUUGUCCAAGCGUUACACAAUGCAAUAUAUUAAUCUUGGCAAUACUUGUGAGUCCUAGAUAUUGAUGGUGCCCUCGCGCUUGUUGUGACUCCAUAGAACUAUCAACAACUUCCGGAUCCUCCUUGGCGUCGGCCUCCACUUUUGGCUCAUAAUCCUCCUCGGGGUCUUCUUGUUGAUCAGACACCGAGUUAUAGUUGAGAUCUUCAAGCCCAAGCAUAUGUGACUCCUCCAAAGAUGAUCAAAGUUUGUUUGUGUUAUUCUCCGCACUAUGACAACAAGCACAUCACCCUAGGGCCGCAAGCAAUCACCAUACAAUGCACCGAUCGAUAUGAAAAUACAUUUAUUUACCUUGAUGGCAUUUGUUUGACCACUUGGCGGCCACGACCCUUGGUGAUGGCAGUGGCGGCCGGACGAGCAACCGUAAGGGUGGCCGAAGAUGUGGUGCGAGGCACCAGAGGCAUCUUAUUCUUAUUAUCCUCGCUAUAUCCUCGGUGAGCGCUGACGCAGGUCUCAUCGACCUCCUUGCCCGCUUGUCAGAGGCUGGAGCAGCGGGAGGGCUGCCUCACAUCUUCAAAGAAGCAGUGGUCUUUCCACCGACCUUGCUACCGGCGAUGCUUGCCUGUGUGGUGGCAUGUGUGGGUUUUAAGUGCCUAGCUUCUUCCUUGUUGUGGGCAGCGGCACAGGGCUCAUUUCCUGAUGCGUCGCGCUGGCGGUGGUGGCUGGCAAGGUGGUGGAAGGGUCUUACAUGUACAUCAUUUUGUCCUCGGGUAGGUAGCCGUGUCCGGCCUUCUUGCCGAUGGCGUUUGCACUGCACUCGCAGGUCUUCCUCACAUUCGUCUGCAACUUGACAUGAAAAUAUUUCUGCCACAUGCCAAAGUGGGACUCGACAUAGAGAAAAGCCUCACACAAGGUGAUGAAGCAUGCAAUGUGAAAGAUAGCAAUGAGGGAAGGUAGUGGACUUUGAAGUAGUAAAAAUGCAGGAAACCCCAGAAGGACAGAUUUAUCAGAAAAGCCCAAUCCGUGAAUCAAAAAAGGGAUGAAAUUGACACUCUUAUGCGGAUCAGGCUAUGGGUACACCUCUUCUCGGGCGUCGCCAUUCUCGGUCACGAUGAUGGGAGAGCACGCGAGGACCACGAUAGCUGCGGAAGAUACCCAUCUGCGGCAAGGCGGUCCAACUGGCCACGCUAGUGGAGGGCAUCCAUUUUCCCUUUGUCUUGGAGGUGACCUUGGCUACAACAGUGACAAUCUCCUUUCCAGUGCUGACCAUCUUUCCAUCCGUGGUGAGCUUGUAGCACAUGGCGGCACGGUGGUGAUGUUGGGUUGUGCUAGAGCGAUGGUGCUAUGGCACAGUGAAGUAGCAGGACAACGACAUAGCGCAAAAGCGGUGGAGCUGUUGUUGUGCCAGGAAGAAGAUGAGAACAAGGGAAACAAUAGCAUGAGCUCCCCCUCGCUCCAUCCAUUCCCUUAUAUACGAGGGUGGAAAUGUGAAAUGGCGGCAUGCAAUCAACGCCACCCAGUGGUAAAUCUCUUCAUACCCCCGCGAUGGCGCUAAGUGCACGUGGGGAUUGAGGUGACUCUGUUAAGUGCGUGCGAGAAUCAGGCAUGCUUCCUCUGUUGAUGCAUGGGACGUGGAGUGGGUGGGACCUAUACCCACUCAUGCACGUCACAUUGACCGCUAGGUCAAGUCUGACACAUGGUCCGGUGGGACCAACUGAUGAGACAGGUCUGCUCUAACAGGACUGUACAGUUUGAACCAUAAAGACGCUAUGCGGGAAUUCAACCCAUGAGGAGCAGACUGCGCGGGAAACAUUUUCGGCACAGGUAGGCUAUCUUCAUCAAUGGCUUAAGACCGAGGUUAAUUACGCUACCCCAAAGGCGGUCUGGCAGCUUGAGACCUAUUACGUGAAGAUGUUGUUAAUUAGGGAGGCUUGGAAGAACAAGUUUCAACCUCGACGACCUAAAGACAAUGUGCAACUUGGUGUUGGCAAGCUUGAACACCAAAUUAGGGCUACUGAUGGUGUCACGGCCCAGGGGUACCUCACCAUGUCAGUUCUCGGCCUGGUGGAGCCCUAGGUCGGUUUCAUCCUGGCUCACUUUGGGCAGCCCGUGACAUUUAUAUGGAAGACUCCAGACGACUUAAUGUACAAGACAAGUGUACGUGAGCUGAGGAGGAGUCUACCUCCACCGAUCUAGUCGACUAGGAUCUGUAAGCCUAGGACCCCUGGUAUGUUGUAUAAGCUGGGGUCGGGCUCGUCGAGAGAUCAUCAGGUAGGUUCCCCUUUGGUAUAUCAUAUCUAAAGCUAAUUUGAUUGAUUUACAAUGAUCCUUUUUUGCAUGAGUAUAGGGAUACAUUUAACCAUGGGGCUCGUAGCUUUCCCAAGGUGGCCACACGAUAUUGGUUCGAUAUCAUGUAUGGCCUCUCUAGCCAGCAUCUUUGCUUGUAUCCUGAACAAUCCUAGAUCUAUAAAGAAAAUCAUGGGUGUAGAAUAAUCCCACACCUGGCAGAUCAAGAUUGGUCGAACAUGAUCCUUAUUUAUAGGAGACAUCUAUUUCUCAAUUGACUAAAAUUUAACGCAAAACUGAUUUAUAAAUUUCUGUAUGAAUCUAAGCAAAAUUUUACCAUGUUGUAAAAAAUGUGUUCAUCUAGUGCAAAGCAGAUGUAGUUUUAACUAAGGCUCCACUGAAUUUACCAUGUUGUAAAAAAGUACUGAGAGUGAUAUAAUAGUUCAUUCAGGCGGAAAUCCAAUUUGGCUCUCGGGUGCACAUGCUAUUGCGCGUGAAAAUAAUUUGGAAAUGUCAAAACAAAUCCAACAAAAAAUUUAUGUGUUCAUAGUCACAUCCAAAUGCUACUUACAAACUCUUAGGCAAAAACUUUAAGCAUUUUGGCCAGUGAAAAAAAUAAAAUUAAAUACCAAAUAUUAAUAACAAAUGUCACCUAAAAUUUGUUUUUUUUUUCACCGACGAAACACUGCCGCUCCGUUCCACAUGAAAAUUGUCAAGGAUGACACUAACACGAACAUUUUCAAAAAGAAACUCAUAUUUUUUUUAAUGUUUACAAUUUUUUUAUGGUUACUGUUCAUGCAGGAGGAUGUGCUCCCAGGAGCCAAAACGCCUCCCCCGUUGUUCAGGUUAGUUAAAAAAUGCAGUAUUACUCUCAGAGUUGUUGGUUUGAUGGUUAUGUCUAUUGAGCGCUAAGAAAUUAUACGACAAUUGAGAAUUAGGAAAACCACUUUUCAUAUCACAGAAACUUAAAUCGAGAUUUCUAUAAGUUUAUUGAGUUGUGUAGUCCAGCCAAAAUCAGUUUGUAUAAUUUAUUAUAAUUUUCCAUAUCUUAGUAGCACAAGGUUUUGGCACAUGAAAGUACAUUGUAUCCAUCAUUUCCAUAGCAUUCACCAUUCGCAACAGCACCAUAUGGAACGGUUGCAAUGACUUUUUUCAAAGUUGUAACCACGCUAUUCACAGCUAAGCUUGCACAUAGCAACAUUGUUGGGCGUUUAUAUCUGGCAUGCUCGGAAAGGAGUACACGAAGUCCACAAUCCAGUUGUACCUACAAACAACAAGGUAUAUAUAGCAUCCCCGUUCAUAUUAGCAUAUGUAGUAUAAGUUGCAUGAGUUUAGAUUAUAUGAAUAUCCAAGGUACAUCAUACAUAAUUGGACUAUUGUAAACAUAAACAAAGAGUGUACCUUUGUUUAUCGUAGUUGCUUGACAUGACCAUAAAGUGCUAGACAUCAUCAGAAGAACUACGAAACAUAUAGCCUAUGUGUUGUUCUUGAUAGGUGCCAUGAGGAGUGGUUUCUUAUUCCUUUUUCCUCCUAUACCUGUAUUCUUUAUGGGCGAUAUCUCUCAACCUAUAUUUCUUAUUGUGUUAUUUAUUAGAGGCAUAAAUCUCGAAGGACCCAUUCUUGCUCUUAUAUUAUUUCUCACAUUUAUGUUUUGAUCAUCAUGUGUUUAUAUAUAGUCACUUGAUGUCCGCAAGGUCACUAUAGCAUUUAGAUAUGAUAUACCAAAAUAUAUCUUGUGGAGAACAUGUUACUAAAUGCAACCUAGAUUUUGAUAUUUGAAAUUAAUCACUACUCUGAAAUACCAUACAUAUAGCACAUUAAGUUGUGCCCCCGCAAAAAAAGCAUAUUAAAUAUGUAUCUUCAGUAGUAGUUGUUCUAUCAUGUAGCAUAGUAGACCCAUGUAAGAAAAACAUAUCGGAUAAUAAUCACAACAUUAUUUCUUUAGGAUUCCACAACAUUAAACCAUUAUAUUAUGUCUUUAGCACUCAAUGUAACAAGCAGAAAAGGCCACCCGAAAUAGUUAGAAAUAAGCCUGUAGAUAACCUCUACUACCGGGUUUUGCAUGCACGCAGUUUGCAAAAGGGACACGAAAGAAAGUUGCCCCCUUUUUCUUUGAGCAAAAAAAACCCUUGUCUUGUGGGCAGAGAUAGGCCCAGAUACACAAGGCCGCAACACGGGGCUUGAUUAUAUUUACGACAGAUAUGUUCACUAGCCCACCAACUUGCCUUUCCUUCGCUUCGAGGUUUUCUUAGUGGAAUUCCCUAUUUGCCGCUCAUUACGUCGAACUGUCGAUGCAAAGCACAGAGCUGGGGAUUGAAGCGCUCACGUGGGCCGGCCCGUUAAUCAAUUGGGUCACUUUCUGGUUUUGGGUACCUUCUAGAGUUUCCUAGCCGAGUUUUUCUGGUUAUGGGAAACUUCUAGAAGGUUCCUUGAACCGUAUUUCUUUUUGUCGAUAUUUCUGUUUCUUUUUUUUCUUUUUUAUUUCUUUUCAUUUCCUUUUCUAUUUCUUUUUUUUUUCAUUUCCUUUAUAUUUCAAGUCCAUUUUUUAAAAACAAAUCAGGUUUCAAAUUUUGUUCAGAAACUGAAAAAAAAUUCGUACUUUUACAGUAUUUUCAAUUUUGUAAAAAAUUUCGUGCUUUCAAAAAUUGUUCAUAAAUUCAAAUAAUGUUCGCAUUUUCAAAAAAUUGUACGGGCAUUUCAAAAAGUGUUCCCAUUUUCCAUAAAUUGUUCAGAAUAUUUUUUUUAUUUUUUGUAACUUUUCAAAUAAUGACUGGGAUUUAAAAAAUGGUUAUGUUUUAAAAAAUUGUUCUUGUUUCCAAAUUUUGCUGACAUAUUCAAAAAUGUUCAUGUUCCAAAUUUGAUUGGAAUUUUUAAAAUUGUUCUCUGGUUCUAACUUUGGUCUAAAAAUGUUCUUGUUUCCAUUUCUGUUUCUUUCUUUGUUUCUUUUUUAAUUUUUAUGUUUUUUUCGAAAAAAUUUCAUUUUUCAAAAAUUGUUCGUAACCUUUAAAAAGUUGUUCCCACUUUUAAAAAACGUUCAUUUUUUUUAAAAUGUUCGUGUUUUCCAAAUUUGUCCAUAAAUUCAAAAAAUGUUCGCAUUUUAAACAAAAUGUUUUGGGAUUUAAAAAUGUUACCUUUUAAAAAAAGGUUUGUCUUUGCAAAUGGCAACCCCUCGCAAUGAAUGUUCGCCAGCUAUUGCAGUCUAAAAGAUGAUGUGUCCAGAUCUGUAGUCUGAAGAGGUGUGAGCGUUUUGUAAAAUAUUGACAAUUUUAAAAACUGUACACGAUUUUGUUUACAAGAUUUUGACAAAUUUGAUGUAUUUUAGUUUUAUUUGAAAUAAACAAAUAUUUUCCUUUUAGGGGAAAGUGAAAACCUGUAAAAGCAUAUAAAAUCACUAGAAACACAUAGCGUCAUUUAGGAGCUCCCUUUGCUGAUCUGUUGCAAUAUAGAUCUUGAGUCAUCUUAUAACUCACUCACUGCAAUGUUAUUGAUGGCAAAACGCACAUGGAAAAAGGAUUUCCUUCUUGAGCCACGUGGCUCAGAUCGCUCCCAAUUUUCUUUCUCUUUUUUUAUCCAGAUUUCCGUCAGUUUAAACCAAAAAAUAGCUCUCUUGCUUAUGUAGUUAAAUUUAAAAAAUAUCAAACAGUGAUAUAAAAGUACAUGAUUUUACAUGAAUAAUUAAACUGUUUGUGAAUUUUCAAAAAUGAUCUUGAAUUAACAAAACGUUCAUAGGUGUAAACAGAUGUUCUUCUUUUAUGAAAAUGCUUAGGAAUUUAUAAAAUUGUGGAAUUUAUAAAAAUACGAAAUUCAAUAAUGUUCUAUAAUCUUCAAAACAUGUUGGUGUUUUUAAAAAACACGUAUUUGAAAAAUAAUUGUAGUUUGAAAAGGAUUAUGUAUUUCAUAAUAUAUUCUUGAAUUUCAAAAUUGUACAUAAUUUUAAUAAAUGUUCAUGAAGUUGAAAUUCAUAAAUAAAAAUAAAAGGUAUAGAGAAAAAUCAGAUGGAAAUCCUAGAAAACCACAAGAACAUGGGGCGUGAUGUGCACUCUACCUAUGCAUUAAUCGAACACUUUUUUGCAAUGAGCGACAACUACAUUUUACAAUGGCUUGCUACACGCAUGAGCUGUUGCUCCCAUGUCCUACUAGAUCGGGAUCGCGCCUUGACGCGAGGGUGCCGGUCCCAAUGUUUUGCCGAAGAACUAUUUUAGUAUAAACCCAGGUAUAGUAUUUGCACUUAUAUAGAAUAAUAAAGCAAAUUUAGAUAGAAGUAAAACAAAAUGAAUCUCAAUACCGACAUGAGAUUAUAAGGCAGGAUCAAACUAAGUGUGUUCAUAAGACCAUAAAAGAUGGCCACUCAACAUAAAAUUCGAUACCAAAAGCGAGAAUACAUAAAAGGUAAUAAGAACAAGAAGAUAAUAAAGGAGAGCCAAUUGUGGAGCCAUAACCACUAAGCAUACGGGAGGAGCUCCAUUGUGUUAGCCACCUCAGUCUUGCGAUGCUUGGCAUCCGGUAGCCACCUCUUUCUUCAGAUUUUGGAGCCUCUUAGAAUAUAUAAAUGGUAUAGGUGCCCUGUCAAGGAAAAAAAAUAGAUAAAUACAGAUUGUGUGUCUUAUUUUUAUUGUGGUGUCAAUCGAGGAAAAAGGAUGAUGCACGACUACAGAACACCAAACUACAAUCCGAUGAUCAACCAACUAUACAAAUCAUAGAGGGAUCUCCUGGGCACUAAGCCCUUAUAAAAGGGUUUCAAGGUAUCCACUUUAUCACCAGCCUACAAAUAAAAUAUAUAAGGUGGGGGCAAGGGAAGGACUAAAAUAAAAAGAAGUACUCGCUUGGUAAUGCAUACUGGAAAGACAUGUUGCUGGUAAGGAUCUCCUCUACUCAGGAAAAAUAAAAAGAUAGGAGGCGCGUGGUGCCUGCCUCAACAUAUUGUCCAUGUGCUUAAACAAAGCAUUUAGUGUUGUCAAAUGGGAAUUAGAACGAUUGCUUGGGAUGAAUCAGCCCUUGCCAAAUGGAAACUAAAAUAAUUGUGCAGGAUAGAUCAACCCAAUACAGUAAGUUUAGAUCAAUAGCAAUACAGAAGGGUGAGACAGCCUGUUAUACCAAAAGCAAGGCAAGCCAGAAGUUCAUGACAAAGGGGAGACAUAUAUUUGGUGGCAAAAGUAAGCCAAAAUGAUGGGUUCUUGUUAAGUAGAUAAAAUAGUUGGGUUAUUAGAUAGCGAAAGCAAGCCAGAGUAGCGAAUAAGAUUCCUAUAUAGUUUUAACAAUCCUAUGUAGUUCUGCUAUAAUUAAAGAACCAGUGAUGCAUCAAUAUAACUAAUAUACAGUAGUUAACAUGAAGAAUGCCGAGCAGUGCCCUUUUACAAAAGGAGAGGACAAUCAGAUGUUCGCAUAACACAUCACAGCAGCUAGUGGUAUGACACAUCGUUUGGAAGUUAUUGGGGCCAAAGCCAACCAUAUAGCUAAGAGAAAAAGCGCCUGCACAUGAAGCAUUGUCACUAACCCUGAAUGAAGGGUUCUACUUUCAAGUGUUUGUGAAGAACAUGGUGUAUAAGUCACAGCCCAGGAUCACCGCGACACUUUAAUCUCAACAUCAAUACACUUCCAAUACCACUAAGGGAAAAUAGAGUUAAAAUUCAUGUGAGAACAAAAUAGAAACAACUGUGGUCAAAAUGCAUAAUCCUUGCUCAAAUCAAAUUGAUAAUCACCAGAUGGUAUAUAUUUUGGCUCCCUCCCAGAUCAAAUUAAUUUACACUUAUGGAGGAUUGUUAUUAACAAAGUAACCGACAAAGAAGUGAUCGCCAGUUGCACUGUCUACUUAUGUCUUUAUGAAUGCAAAUGCAAGUGGAAGCUACCGAGGUUCGGUAAAUAGGGAUUGACCAGUAGCUUUUUUCCGAACUGGAAGGAACAAAGUCUCACUUCUAGCCAAACCGAGUGGAGAGCACAUCCUAUCAUUCUUUUGAUCUCUAGAUUUCAUCCAAUUGAGAUUUUCAUUCCGUCAUUUCAAGGAAAUGGUGUACACCAAUUUAAGAAGUUUAGGAGUAUGUCCUAAAAGAAGUUUCAGGUGUGCAUAUCGUUACAAGCUUGAAAUACUGACAUAAAAGCUUGAAAUAUGAGAUUGUGCAUGUAGAAAUAAAUAAGAAAUUAUAUGUCAAACAAAUUUAUGUUUUCUGCCAUUCCAGAAAUUCUAAUUUCUUAAUGAGCCGACUUGCAUACGUCUCUCUCCGAAGGAAAGACCAUUUCUAAUUACAGAAAAGGGAUAUGUACAAUGGUAGACAUAUGUGUUGGUCGAUAAUACCUCAAAUGGCGCACCACUAAGAUUUUCCAUUACCAGCUUCUUAUGGAUCAGUGAUACAGAGCUCUCUGCUUGUGCCUGGCUUGGCAGCUUCCUCUAGAUCAGCAAUAAAAUUAAUAGAUUAAGAGAGUACCUCAGCAAACUCAAGAUUAAUUUAUACUCCAUAAACUAAUAUAAGUUCAGGGAGGUAGUACCUAAACAGAUCCAUAAAAUCUUUUAUUCUUUCCAGAAAAUGUAGAAUUAUCCAACAUGUAAGGGGUGAACCACCAUCACGACACCAGCAUCUAGAAUAAGUUGAUUUGCAGAAGCAUUGCCACUAAGAAUAAUGCAUAACAAUGAUUUUUUUCCCUACAUAUAAGGGGAGGCCUCAAACUUAAUCCUUUACUUCCAUAGCACAUCAUACAAUGCCCCCUUAAAAGAGUUCUUCGAAAUAGCAUGCAAGCUCCAUAUCGAAUGGGGAGCAACGGAGGAGGCCACCCGCGACCAUGGCGUCCGACCAAGGCAUCGUUGUUCCGUCCAGCUCGGCCAUGUGCGGGGCGUGACAUCAUUGUGUAGGUACCGGUGGUCGUCCUCAUCCAUGGAGGAUUCCUGCUGCUCCGAUUCAAAGAAACAAGUAAGGGGAUCAAUCAAUCCAUGGAGAGAAGGAAGACAAGGAGACACGCACGUACACGUACUGCUGCUAGUAUAUAAAGAAAUCAACCAAGCCGUAUGUGUGUGUGCUUGAGUACGUGUGUGGUUGGGCUCCUGGAGUACACGAGCUAGUGUUCUAAUUAAACUGAAAUAGAGCAUGCCAUAGGAGAGCAACCUAGAGCACAGAGCAUGCCACAAGAAAGCAACCUAGAGCAGAGCAACUAUAACUUGGAAAAAUCUCACAACCGAGAGAGAGGGAUGGACCUAGUUUGUCAAUCUACCAUGCAUCGUUACUCUAUAAUUUAUAGAGCUGGCAGCCUAACAUGCUACUGCCAUCAGCGGUAACCAAUGAAAUUAGAAAAGCACCGAAACUACUAAUUCUAACCAAAGAAGUUUGAGGAACAUAUUUCUCUUUGUUUUACAAUCUGAAAACGGCUAUUCUGGAGUGUGCAGUGGUCACUCAAAAUAAAGAAUACAUAUACCUGGCCUGCGAAAAACAACUGGCACAACGCAAUGGUCCUUAAUCGGUUAUCCAUAAUAUAGACAAACAAAUAUGAAUCAGGAACCAAGCAGUUUAAUUGGUUGCAAAUUAAAGGACCCUUAGAAUCCGCUUUUAGAUGGCAAACAAUAAACUAUGGCAAUAAAAAAUCAGUAGCCAAAACCCAUAGGACGGAAAAUAGCAUCAGUCAUUCCUUCAACCAAAGCAUCAUAUAUCAUCGAUCUACAUUAUAAGGAGAACUAUGUAUGAGAAUGUGAACCAGAGUUAUACCCCUUGCAUCAUGUAAUUCUUUGGAGUUAGACUCUUUCAAAAUAUUAUCACACAGGGUGCCCAAAAAUAUAUAUUACCACAAUACAUCUAUUCAUCCAUUAAUAAUGAAAAUACUAACACAUAACUUCCACCUAGAGUAGCAUGGAAUUGCACAAAUAAUACAUAGCAAGAGAUUCAUUAUUUCAAUGCAUGAUAAGUUACGAAAUAGAUCAUCUAAACAAACAAAAUAAUGUUUGUUUGUGCCACUUAUUAUUACUGUUAUCGUGGUACCCACAAUAAGGUGGAAAUGUUAGCUUAUUCAAGGGGGGCCUACAAACUUCGAUCCCAUGAUGGCUAAAAUGGUUUUGGAUCAAUGAAGCUUACAACUGGUAAAUCAGGUGAGCUAGUAAGUAUGGCAAACGAAAAUCAAAGUAGAAUGAUCCCAAAAUGUCUUUUGUUACACUAUUACAAAGCAAGUUAACCGAUCUUAGAUCUUGUGACCAUGAAUCCAAACCUCUACUGAUUACUCUUAAAUUCAUAUCAAAGUGAAGAGAGCUAAUUAUUUAUGUGUGGCGCAUUCGGAGAAUUGAUGUGGCUAUUCAUAAAAUCAAAAUUAAGAUCCAUUCUCUCUAGAAGUAACUAAAAUGAAAGAGGAACAGAGAAUAAUAUCUUGUGCCAGAUUGGGAUUAAUGCACUGAUGAGAGACUCGAACAAUGAAACACAUGCAAAAAUGUUCUCUUGAUGCCCAUUUACUCCUAGGAGUACUACUGAACCUAACUGAAUUUAGGAGUAUUUACAAAACCUAGUAGUACUACUGAACCUAAUCGAACCCAAGUGCAUGUGUGGUGUACUAAAUGUAGGAGCUGCGUGUUUGUACUCCAUGGAUGCAAAUCAAAGGAGUUGGAGCCGUGUGUUUGUACUCCAUAGACGUAUUAUAAACUUUGUAGUCCAUGGGAAAUGAACAUAGCUGCAAAUUAAGAAAAACAAAGCAGUCGAGGAGAGAACGAGCUCACCUAUGAGGUUGCAGCCGAGGCAGUAGCACAGCUCGUCGCUGCAACUGAGCUCGACACGCUACCUCCAUGUGUCCGGCCUUUUCCGCGAGUUGCCCCAUGCGUCCAGCCUCCUCCGAGCACUGUCUCCUCACAAACAAGUAGGGGUAGAAAAAACAUGAAUUGUAACUUAUCAACCGAGCGGCAGCAACAAUCAGCGACAUAUCACCGAUCAACAACAGGACACUAACCGAAAAACGCAGCCAAUAGCAAAAUCAGGAGCAGGAUAAAACUAAUAAUAUAAUGAAAAGAAUGCCCACAAGAGAAGCAUGCACAAUCCUAUGAAAUCAGAAUCAAUUAGUUCACCUACUGACACCCAUCUACCAGGAUCAAACAAGGCGUCCAGGAUCAAACAAACAAAGCAAGGAAAGAUACAGCCCCUUCCUUGCAAUCUAGCUAGACCGCUAAUGUAACAACAAAGUUUCUAGAAGAAUCUAACAGCAAUCAUAUAUAAAAAAAGCGCAAGUAAAUAUGGUCAUGCAUAUUUUGAAGCCACCAAAGCUGUCCUUAUGUCGAAAAUUGAAAUAAACGAUGGUACAAAGAGGAGAAAUAAUGAAAAUAACAUGAAGGAGUCAGAACCCAGAAAUCAUAUGUAACUAAACUAUGAGAAACCAUGCAUAUUACCUCAAGAAUCUAUAUAGACCUAAGCUUCUCUUUAACAGGCAGAAAACCAAGCAAUGAAACAGAUAGCCUAGCUAAAUCCAAGGACCUACUUGACGGCAAGGCACCAACAAAACAAGAAAGCCCCCCAAAAGUCCUCCUCUGGAACCUAGCUACCUAAGAAUCUGCUGCACAAGAAGAAACCCAAGGCAUUUUUGCUAGCCAGUCCUACAAAAUGGUACAUGAACAUAAGAGGGGAAGGAGCUCAACCAGCAGGAGCAUGACCAGUGCGGCCACACGCGGCAGAGGUGAAGCAUAGAUCGCUCGGAAUCGCGUGUGUAAGGAAGAACCCAACAACACGGUACAUGCGAGUAGCACCAGCAAACAAAUCAGUAGGUUACUUCUAGGACAUAGCACCUCGAUCACUCUUUACAUGAACAAUCCAGCAUUAUCUACUAAAAAACUAUCAACAAAAAUCUUGUAGCAUUAUUAUUUGUAGCAUGUAAGAACAAAUAGCUGCAAAUGGUAACUUGCGAAAAAAUAGAAGUAGUAGUGUCACAGCAAAUUAAAACAAGCCAUUCAACCAUUGCGGGGAGCGGGUCAAAGUGCGACUUACUCUUAUAACCAGAUUAAAUCAAGGACCAACAACAAUAUAGAUACAACAAAGUGCGACUGUACAUAUUCUACAAAACACACCACUGCACCAUGUAGAUACAACACAUAUCAAUUAGAAGGGGCAACUUGUGCCCUGUUUAUGAGAGAAAGAAAUCAAAUAAUAUUUGUAACAGUAGAUUGAGAUAUGAUGAGAAUACCUAAUCAGUAAAGCAUCACUACCCAACCAUAAGCAUAAAGGAAGUAAUAUGAGCUGAAAUCUCUGAUGGCAUAAAAAAUUAGAGCAUGUCUGACAUAACAUUUUGAAGUUACAAAUGGUAAAUAAACUACAACNNNNNNNNNNNNNNNNNNNNNNNNNNNNNNNNNNNNNNNNNNNNNNNNNNNNNNNNNNNNNNNNNNNNNNNNNNNNNNNNNNNNNNNNNNNNNNNNNNNNNNNNNNNNNNNNNNNNNNNNNNNNNNNNNNNNNNNNNNNNNNNNNNNNNNNNNNNNNNNNNNNNNNNNNNNNNNNNNNNNNNNNNNNNNNNNNNNNNNNNNNNNNNNNNNNNNNNNNNNNNNNNNNNNNNNNNNNNNNNNNNNNNNNNNNNNNNNNNNNNNNNNNNNNNNNNNNNNNNNNNNNNNNNNNNNNNNNNNNNNNNNNNNNNNNNNNNNNNNNNNNNNNNNNNNNNNNNNNNNNNNNNNNNNNNNNNNNNNNNNNNNNNNNNNNNNNNNNNNNNNNNNNNNNNNNNNNNNNNNNNNNNNNNNNNNNNNNNNNNNNNNNNNNNNNNNNNNNNNNNNNNNNNNNNNNNNNNNNNNNNNNNNNNNNNNNNNNNNNNNNNNNNNNNNNNNNNNNNNNNNNNNNNNNNNNNNNNNNNNNNNNNNNNNNNNNNNNNNNNNNNNNNNNNNNNNNNNNNNNNNNNNNNNNNNNNNNNNNNNNNNNNNNNNNNNNNNNNNNNNNNNNNNNNNNNNNNNNNNNNNNNNNNNNNNNNNNNNNNNNNNNNNNNNNNNNNNNNNNNNNNNNNNNNNNNNNNNNNNNNNNNNNNNNNNNNNNNNNNNNNNNNNNNNNNNNNNNNNNNNNNNNNNNNNNNNNNNNNNNNNNNNNNNNNNNNNNNNNNNNNNNNNNNNNNNNNNNNNNNNNNNNNNNNNNNNNNNNNNNNNNNNNNNNNNNNNNNNNNNNNNNNNNNNNNNNNNNNNNNNNNNNNNNNNNNNNNNNNNNNNNNNNNNNNNNNNNNNNNNNNNNNNNNNNNNNNNNNNNNNNNNNNNNNNNNNNNNNNNNNNNNNNNNNNNNNNNNNNNNNNNNNNNNNNNNNNNNNNNNNNNNNNNNNNNNNNNNNNNNNNNNNNNNNNNNNNNNNNNNNNNNNNNNNNNNNNNNNNNNNNNNNNNNNNNNNNNNNNNNNNNNNNNNNNNNNNNNNNNNNNNNNNNNNNNNNNNNNNNNNNNNNNNNNNNNNNNNNNNNNNNNNNNNNNNNNNNNNNNNNNNNNNNNNNNNNNNNNNNNNNNNNNNNNNNNNNNNNNNNNNNNNNNNNNNNNNNNNNNNNNNNNNNNNNNNNNNNNNNNNNNNNNNNNNNNNNNNNNNNNNNNNNNNNNNNNNNNNNNNNNNNNNNNNNNNNNNNNNNNNNNNNNNNNNNNNNNNNNNNNNNNNNNNNNNNNNNNNNNNNNNNNNNNNNNNNNNNNNNNNNNNNNNNNNNNNNNNNNNNNNNNNNNNNNNNNNNNNNNNNNNNNNNNNNNNNNNNNNNNNNNNNNNNNNNNNNNNNNNNNNNNNNNNNNNNNNNNNNNNNNNNNNNNNNNNNNNNNNNNNNNNNNNNNNNNNNNNNNNNNNNNNNNNNNNNNNNNNNNNNNNNNNNNNNNNNNNNNNNNNNNNNNNNNNNNNNNNNNNNNNNNNNNNNNNNNNNNNNNNNNNNNNNNNNNNNNNNNNNNNNNNNNNNNNNNNNNNNNNNNNNNNNNNNNNNNNNNNNNNNNNNNNNNNNNNNNNNNNNNNNNNNNNNNNNNNNNNNNNNNNNNNNNNNNNNNNNNNNNNNNNNNNNNNNNNNNNNNNNNNNNNNNNNNNNNNNNNNNNNNNNNNNNNNNNNNNNNNNNNNNNNNNNNNNNNNNNNNNNNNNNNNNNNNNNNNNNNNNNNNNNNNNNNNNNNNNNNNNNNNNNNNNNNNNNNNNNNNNNNNNNNNNNNNNNNNNNNNNNNNNNNNNNNNNNNNNNNNNNNNNNNNNNNNNNNNNNNNNNNNNNNNNNNNNNNNNNNNNNNNNNNNNNNNNNNNNNNNNNNNNNNNNNNNNNNNNNNNNNNNNNNNNNNNNNNNNNNNNNNNNNNNNNNNNNNNNNNNNNNNNNNNNNNNNNNNNNNNNNNNNNNNNNNNNNNNNNNNNNNNNNNNNNNNNNNNNNNNNNNNNNNNNNNNNNNNNNNNNNNNNNNNNNNNNNNNGGCUCCUCUUUGAUCCGACAGCGCAGGUCAUCCGGCGGCUCGAUCCGACGGCCAAGAUCAGAUUAAGCAACCAGAUCCAACGGCCAGGAAUGCCAAGCGGCUGAGGAGGCUGGAGGAUGACUGGAAUCCUUAUUUCUCGAUUCGUUUGCCCCAUGCGAGUGCAUCCCCCAAAGGCCGCAACCUCUUCUACACCACCGCUUAUGGUUGAAGUUGUUGCCGUCCUCCCCCUGCUUCUUGGACGGUUCGCCUCUGCUUGAGCAUGACUGCGGCGUCCCGCCCAAUUGGCCUUGACAAUGCUCCUCGGCCUCAGCUAAAGCCACUGGCCCGUUCCACUGAUGUUUAGAAUUGCUGCUCAUGCAUCUGCUUGCCACUUUGCCGACAAUGCUACUCGUCGACCCGUGCAACUCUAGCAUGUUGGCUACUUGUCGCGUGCCUCUUGGACCAGAUAGUUUCUAAAUCGAUGCAUUGAAGUUAAACUACAUAGUUGACCUUUUAAGUUUGGGAGCACUUGGUCAGGCAGCUAAAAACUGGUUUUGUUUCAGUUGAUUUGCUCUCCCUCUUUCAACUAUCUUAUUUAAAUCCAAAGCCUCAUGUUUUUCAUCCUCCUGCCAUCGAAGCGACAAUGUUCUUUUUGAUGGAAAUAUUCCCUAGAGGCAAUAAUAAAAUGGUUAUUAUUAUAUUUCCUUAAUCAUGAUAAAGGUUUAUUAUUCAUGCUAGAAUUGUAUUAAUCAGAAACUUAAAUACAUGUGUGGAUACAUAAACAAAUACCAUGUCUCUAGUGAGCCUCUACUAGACUAGCUUGUUGAUCAAAAGAUGGUUAAGGUUGCCUAACCAUAGACAUGUGUUGUCACUUGAUAACGGGAUCACAUCAUUAGGAGAAUGAUGUGAUGGACAAGACCCAUCUAUUAGCUUAGCAUCUGAUCGUUCAGUUUAUUGCUACUGCUUUCUUAAUGCCAAAUACAUGUUUCUUCAACCAUGAGAUCAUGCAACUCCCGUAUAUCGGAGGAAUACCUUGUGUGCUAUCAAAGGUCACAACGUAACUGGGUGAUCAUAAAGAUGCUCUACAGGUAUCUCCGAAGGUGUCUGUGGAGUUGGCGUGAAUCGAGAUUGGAAUUUGUUACUCCGUAUGGCGGAGAGGUAUCUCUGGGCCCUCUCGGUAAUACACAUCACAAGAAGCUUGCAAGAAAAAUGACUACGGAGUUAGUUACGAGAUGAUGUAUUACGAAACGAGUAAAGAGACUUGCCGGUAAUGAGAUUGAACUAGUUAUGGAGAUAUCAACGAUCGAAUCUCGGGCAAGUAACAUACCGACAGACAAAGGGAAUUACGUAUGCUGUCAUAACGGUUUGAUCGAUAAAUAUCUUUGUAGAAUAUGUAGGAACCAAUAUGGGCAUCCAAGUUCCGCUAUUGGUUAUUUACCGGAGAGGUGUCUCGGUCAUGCCUACAUAGUUCUCGAAGCCAUAGGGUCCACACUUUUAACGUUCGUUGAUGAUAUAGUGUUCUAUGAGUUAUAUUAUUUGGUGACGGAAUGUUGUUCGGAGUCCCGGAUUAGGUCAUGGACAUGACGAGGAGCUCCGGAAUGGCCCGGAGGUAAAGAUCGAUAUAUAGGUCGAUGAUAUUUGGACACCGAAAGAGUUUUGGGAGGUACCGGGUAGUCAUCGGAUCAUCAGAAGUGGUUCCGGGAAGCCCCGGGAGGCUAUAUGGCUUAAUGGGCCAAAGGAGGAACACACCAGCCCACAAGGGGCUGGUGCGCCCCUCUCCCUGGCCGCCGGCCCUAGGGGAAGGAAAGGGGGAGGGUUGGCCCCUCCUUCCUUUCCCUCCUCAUGAGAGAAAGAAAAGGGCGGGGGGGGGGGGGCACCUCCCCCUGCCUUCCUCCCGCGCACAUACAAGGAAAGGGGGCGGCCAAGGGCAGGAGCCCAAGAGGGCUUCGGCCAUCCUUGGGGCACCUCCUGGCUGCCUCCCCUCUCCCCCACCUAUAUAUAUGUGGGAGGGGGCGCCACACAAGGACCACGUCGAUCUCUUAGCCGUGUGCGGCACCCCUCUCCAUAGUUUCAUCCAUCAGUCAUAUUUUCAUAGUGCUUAGGUGAAGCCUUGCGUAAAUAGCAUCACCACCACCAUCACCACUUCGCCCGUCUUGCUGGAUCAAGAUGGCGAGGACGUCACCGAGAUGAACAUGUGCUGAAAGCAAAGGUGUCGUAUGUUCGGUACUUGAUUGGUUGGACCGUGAAGAAGUUCGACUAUAUCAAUUGCGUUAAUAAAUGCUUCCGCUUACGGUCUACGAGGGUACAUAGACACACUCUCCCCUCUUGUUGCUAUGCAUCUCCAUGGAUACAUCUUGCGUGUGCAUAUUUUUUUUUUGUUUUCCAUGCGACGUUCCCCAACACUUCUUCCUCACUGAACCUAUGAUUUCUCUCCCUCCUAUUGAUAAUCCCCAAGUGCAGGGAAUCAUAGUAGCAAUUCCCAAAGGUGGAAGUGAUAAGUAUGGAGUGUCGAACCCACAAGGAGCUAAAGGUAAGAUCAAUAUUCUCUCAAGCCCUAUCUGCCACUGAUACGACUCUAGUGCACCGAACGUUUGCUUCCAACUAGCAACGAGAAAUAAAACUAUGUUGUGGGUAUGUAGAGGAUAACUUUGUAUGAUAUCGGAGAGCUAAAACAUAAAAGUAGGUGUUGUUAUCAUAAAGUUAGAAUAUAAUACUAAAUAUUAUAAAUAGCGAGUGUGGAAUAAUGGUGGAUCGGUGUGCGGAAUUGUCCUAGGCAAUAGUUAACAAGACUGAUAAUCACUAUUGCAGUUUCAUAUGAGGGAGAGGCAUAAGCUAACAUACUUUCUCUUCUUGGAUCAUAUGCACUUAUGAUUGGAACUCUAGCAAGCGUCGUCAACUACUGAAGAUCAUAAAGGUAACAACCAACCAUAGCAUUAAAGCAUCAAGUCCUCUUUAUUCCCAUACACAACAACCUACUUACUCGGAUUUGUGUUUUAGUCACUCACGCAACCCACUAUAAGCGAAUCAUGAACGUAUUGCAACACCCUACAGCGGGAAUCCCUCAUGCUUGCGCGACACGGAGGGCACCAUAGGACAGCAUCAAAGUAAAACAUACAACUCAUACCAAUCUAAAUCAUCAAUCAACCCAAAGACAAAAGAUAUCUACUCAAAACAUCAUAGGAUGGCAACACAUCAUUGGAUCAUAAUAUGUGGCAUAGAGCACCAUGUUCCAGUAGGGAUUACAGCGGGGUGCGGGAGAGUGGACCGCGUAAAAGAGAUGAGGAUGGUGAUGAUGAUGGUGAUGUUGAUGAAGACGAUCACCGCGGCGAUGAUUCCCCUCCCGAUGGCACUCCGGUGCCACCAAGAGAGAGCAGGAGAGGUUCUCCCCCUUGUGCUUCCUCCUCCAUGACUUUCCCCCUCUGGUCCUUGGCCUUGAUGGUGAUGAUGGCCCCUCCGAGAUCCUCCUCCAUGGCCCCCGGUGAUGAUGGCCCCCUCCGGCAGGGUGCCGGAGAGGUCCUAGAUUGAUUUCUCAUGGCUACAGAGGCUUGCGGUGGGGGAACUUAUGAUCUAGGUCAAUUCCCGAAGGUUUCUGUAUUUAUAGGAAUAUUUGGCGUUGGUUUCACGUCAGGGGGGUCUCUGGGCUGUCCACGAGAUAGGGGGCGCGCCCCCCACUCUCGUGGGCAGCCCGGGACUCUUCUGGCCCAACUCUGAUGCUCCGUGGUCUUCUUUUGGUCCAUAAAAAAUCCUCAAAAAUUGGCACGUCAAUUGGACUCCGUUUGGUAUCCCUUUUCUGUAAAACACAAAAACUAGGAGAAAACAGAAAUUGGCACUGGGCUCUAGGUUAAUAGGUUAGUCCCAAAAAUCAUAUAAAAUGACAUAUAAAUGCAUAUAAAACAUCAUAGAUGAAUAAUAUAAUAGCAUGAAUACUUCAUAAAUUAUAGAUAUGUUGGAGACGUAUCAGCAUCCCCAAGCUUAAUUCCUGCUCUUCCGCGAGUAGGUAAAUGAUAAAAGAAAUAAUUUAUGAAGUGUGAAUGCUAGUAGGUGGACAAGUUUGAUCAAUGAUAAUUUCAAUCAUCUUUUCUAGCAUCAAAAUGUGUCAUAAUAGUAGCUUAUCUCAUAAAACUUUUCAUGAUCAAGUAACAAUCUAUUCACAAUGUCAAGUAUGGUUCAGAAACUUCAUUGAGAACUAACAAACUAUAAUCUCAGUCAUUUAAGCAAUUGCAAUUUAUCAUAACAUCAGAAAGAGUCAAGAAUAGAGCUUUUUAGCAAGUCAACAUACUCAACUAUCAUAUAGUCUUCUACAAUUGCUAACACUCACGCAAUACUUGUGGUUAGGGAGUUUCAGCCAGACACUGAGAAAGAUAGGGGCUUAUUGUGUUGCCUCCCAACGUAUUCACCUUUAGGUGAUGUCAACUAUAAUAGCCCAUGCUAACUUACAUCCAAUUGGAUAUAUAUAUCAUGAUCUUUCAAACACAAGGAGCUUGCCAAAGGACAAAAUGAAAAAGGGAAAGGUGAGGAUCACCUUGACUCAAGCAUAAAGUAAAAACAUAAAGUAAAAGAUAGGCCCUUCGCAGAGGGAAGCAGAGGUUGUCUUGUGCGUUUAGGGUUGGAUGCAUAAAAUCUUAAUGCAAAAGAACGUCACUUUAUAUUGCCCCUUGUAUGUUGACCUUUAUUAUGCAGUCCGUCGCUUUUAUUGCUUCCACAACAAGAUCGUACAAAGCUUAUUUUCUCUGCACUAAUAAGUCAUACAUAUUUAGAUAGCAAUUUUUAUUGCCUGCAACAUGACCACUUGAAGGAUCUUACUCAAUCCAUAGGUAGGUAUGGUGGACUCUCAUGGCAAAACUGGGUUUAAGGAUAUUUGGAAACACAAGUAGUAUCUCUACUUAGUGCAAGGAAUUUGGCUAGCAUGAGGGGGAAAGGCAAGCUCAACAUACUUGGAAGGUCAAUGACAAUAUACUUUAACUGAGAUGUGAGAAAACACAAAUCAUUAUGUUGUCUUCCUUGUCCAACGUCAACUCUUUUAGCAUGUCAUAAUUAAUGAGUGCUCCCUAUCAUAAAAGAUGUCCAAGAUAAUAUAUUUGUAUGUGAACCUCUCUUUCCUUAUUACUUCCUAUUAAUUGCAACGAUGACCAAAACUACGUUUACCAACUCUCAACAACUUUUAUGCCUCAUACUGUUUAUAUGUGAAGUCAUUACUAUCCAUGUUAUAAUCAUAAUAAAACAUAUAGAAAUUCAGAUUCAUGACAUUCAAUUCAUUCCCCCAUUUACUCAUAGGAUGAACAUGAAGCACAUGAGUAAAUGACAAACUACUCCAAAAGAUAUGAGUGAAAGACAUGGAGUAGUCAAAUAAUUAACUAGCCAUGGGAGGGUUCCUUUUUUAUUCAAUAUUCAGAUCCAAUGAUUUUAUUCAAACAGCAAGUAAAAUCGAAAACACGCUCCAAGCAAAACACAUAUCAUGUGACGAAUAAAAAUAUAGCUCCGAGUAAGAUGUACCGAUAGUUUUGAAGACGAAAGAGGGGAUGCCUUCCGGGGCAUCCCCAAGCUUAGGCGCUUGAGUCUUCCUUGAAUAUUACCUUGGGGUGCCUUGGGAAUCCCCAAGCUUAGGGUCUUUCCACUCCUUAUUCUACUCAUAUCGAUAUCUCGCCCAAAACUUGAAAACUUCAAUCACACAAAACUUAAUGGAACUUCGUGAGAUAGGUUAGUAUGAUAAAGAGUAAACCAUGCACUUUGGUACUGUAAAAGACAAGGUUAAUAAUUGUUUUCACAUAAUGCAUACUGUACCAUAUCAUUUCUACAAUUUAUAUUGAGAAAUAUAAGCCAUAGAAACUAGAAAACAAGCAAACUAUGCAGUGAAAACAGAAUCUGUCACAAAUAGAACAGUCUGUAAUGAUCUGAGCAAUAACCAUACUUCUGCUACUCCAAAAAUUAUGAAAUAAAUUGGUGGACAUGAGGAAUUUGUCUACUAAUCUUCUGCAAAAAGAAUAAACUCAAAGUCACACUUCUGUAAAAAAUGACAGCUAAUCUCGUGAGCGCAAAGUUUCUAUUUUUUACAGCAAGAUCACAUUAACUCUCACCCAAGUCUUCCCAAAGGUCUUACUUGGCACUUUAUUGAAACAAAAGCUAUAAAACAUGAUUACUACAGUAGCUUAAUCAUGUAGACACACAAAAACAGUCAGGAUAAAUAUUGGGUUGUCUCCCAACAAGCGCUUUUAUUUAAUGCCUUUUAGCUAGGCAUGAUGAUUUCAAUGAUGCUCGCAUAAAAGAAAAGAGUUGAAACACAAAGAGAGCAUCAUGAAGAAUAUGACUAGCACAUUUAAAUCUAACUCACUUCAUAUGCCUGGGGAUUUUGUGAGCACACAACUUAUGGGAACAAGAAUCAACUAGCAUAGGAAGGCAAAACAAGUUUAACUUCAAAACUUAAAGCUCAUAGAGAGGAAACUUGAUAUCAUUGCAACUCCUACAAGUAUAUAUUCCCCCCUCAUAAUAGUUUUCAGUAUCAUCAUGGAUAACAACCUUUUUUCUCAUACUAAAUUGGAACCUCUUCCGAAAUAGUGGAAUACUAACUAAAGUUGACACUCUUCCAAAUCCACUUUCAUGAAUAUCGUACAAUGAUUCAACACCCUCCAAGAUAGUGGGAUCACUAAUUCCUAAAGUUGACACUCUUCCAAACCCACUUUAAAUUAUAGUACUAUUCAUACUCCAAAAGAUAUAAGUGAAGUUCCUGGAGCAUUCUAUAAUUAAUAUAGACUAGCCAAUAUCCAAGCUCAAAAUAUAUAAGUGAAGCGCACGAAGCAUUCUAUAAAACCAUACUCAAACGAUAUAAGUGAAGCACAAAGAGCAAUUAUCUAAGAUCAUACUUAAAAGAUAUAAGUGAAGCUAAUGAAGUAUAAAUGAAUGAAGAGCUCUCUCAUAUAUCAUGAUUCUUGAAGAAAAAUAAAAACACAAAGGACAUGAAUCGUGUGAACAAAGCAAAAACCGAGGUAUACCGAUAUUUGUUGAGGAAGAAAGAUGGGAUGCCAACCGGGGCAUCCCCAAGCUUAGAUGCUUGAGUAUCCUUUAAAAUAUUUACUUGGGGUGCCUUGGGCAUCCCCAAGCUUUAACUCUUGUCUCUCUUUAUUCUUCUCACAUCAAUAACUCCUCGUUCUUCAAACACUUCAUUCACAAAAACUUAAAAAAAAAACUUGUGAGAUCCGUUAGUGUAAUAAAGCAAACUACCACUUUAAGGUACUGUAAUUAACAAUUUAUUUAUUUUUAUUGGUGUUAAACCUACUGUAUUCCAACUUCUCUAUGGUUCAUACCCUUACAUACUAGCCAUAGAUGCAUCAAAAUAAGCAAACAAUACACGAAAAACAGAAUCUGUCAAGAACAGGACAGUCUGUAGUAAUCUGGAAGUUCAGUAAACUUCUGUAACUCCAAAAAUUAUGAAAUAAAAUUGAAAAUUUGAAAUAUUUGUACAGAAGUAAUGUGCAAAAAGUUUCAUACCCAUUUGUCUUUCCAGUAAAAAAUGUAAAUUCAUGCACUACAGCCAAAGUUUCUGUUUUUCUGCACAUAGUAAGCAAGCAAUCUUAUCAUACUAAAACCAAAGCUUGGCACACUAUUUUUAUAUUAAAAAGGAUAUAUACAAGGGUAUAAUUAUUUACAGAGAAACUUUCAUGAAAAAUUCUACAUUGUUUCCGUGAGCAUGAACUCAAGUGCUCAAGGUCGACCCUCACUUCUUCAAUGCAUAACUUUCCAAUCACUUCUCUUUUUGAAAAACUUUUUUAGGCAUGACAGGCAAGUAAUUCUUUUUUGGUAUUUUCAUUCUUUUUAAUUUUUGUGUAUGUUUCAUCCACAACUAAACAGAAACAAAAAGGGAAAAUAAAAUCUACUUAGUGAAGAAAGCAAACAAGCACACACGAGAAUAUCAACCCCACGCUAUCACUCCCCGGCAACGGCGCCAGAAAAGAGCUUGAUAAUCCCCAAGUGCAGGGAAUCAUCGUAGCAAUUCCCAAAGGUGGAAGUGAUAAAUAUGGAGUGUAGAACCCACAAAGAGCUAAAGGUAAGAUCAAUAUUCUCUCAAGCCCUAUCUGCCACUGAUACGACUCUACAUGCACCGAACAUUUGCUUCCAACUAGCAACGAGAAAUAAAACUAUGUUGUGGGUAUAUAGAGGAUAACUUUGUAUGAUAUCGGAGAGCUAAAACAUAAAAGUAGGUGCUGUUGUCAUAAAGUUAGUAAAUAAUACUAAAUAUUAUAAAUAGCGAGUGUGGAAUAAUGGUGGAUCGGUGUGCGAAAUUGUCCUAGGCAAUUGUUAACAAGACCGAUAAUCACUAUUGCAGUUUCAUAUGAGGGAGAGGCAUAAGCUAACAUACUUUCUCUUCUUGGAUCAUAUGCACUUAUGAUUGGAACUCUAGCAAGCAUCCGCAACUACUAAAGAUCAUUAAGGUAAAACCCAACCAUAGCAUUAAAGCAUCAAGUCCUCUUUAUUCCCAUACGCAACAACCUACUUACUUGGUUUGUGUUUCAGUCACUCACGCAACCCACUAUAAGCGAAUCAUGAACGUAUUGCAACACCCUACAGCAGGAAUCCCUCAUGCUUGCGCGAUACAGAGGGCACCAUAGGACAACAUCAAAGUAAAACAUACAACUCAUACCAAUCUAAAUCAUCAAUCAACCCAAAGACAAAAGAUAUCUACUCAAAACAUCAUAGGAUGGCAACACAUCAUUGGAUCAUAAUAUGUGGCAUAAAGCACCAUGUUCAAGUAGGGAUUACAGCGGGGUGCGGGAGAGUGGACCGCGUAAAAGAGAUGAGGAUGGUGAUGACGAUGGUGAUGUUGAUGAAGACGAUCACCGCGGCGAUGAUUCCCCUCCCGAUGGCACUCCGGUGCCACCAAGAGAGAGGAGGAGAGGUUCUCCCCCUUGUGCUUCCUCCUCCAUGGCUUUCCCCCUCUGGUCCUUGGCCUUCAUGGUGAUGAUGGCCCCUCCGAGAUCCUCCUCCAUGGCCUCCGGUGAUGAUGGCCCCCUCCGGUAGGGUGCCGGAGAGGGCCUGGAUUGAUUUCUCAUGUCUACAGAGGCUUGCGGCGGCGAAACUUUUGAUCUAGGUCAAUUCCCGAAGGUUUCUGUAUUUAUAGGAAUAUUUGGCGUUGGUUUCACGUUAGGGGGGUCUCCGGGCUGUCCACGAGAUAGGGGGCGCGCCCCCACUCUCGUGGGCAGCCCGGGACUCUUCUAGCCCAACUCCGAUGCUCCGUGGUCUUCUUUUGGUCCAUAAAAAAUCCUCAAAAAUUGGCACGCCAAUUGGACUCCGUUUGGUAUCCCUUUUCUGUAAAACACAAAAACAAGGAGAAAACAGAAACUCGCACUGGGCUCUAGGUUAAUAGGUUAGUCCCAAAAAUCAUAUUAAAUGACAUAUAAAUGCAUAUAAAACAUCAUAGAUGAAUAAUAUAAUAGCAUGAAUACUUCAUAAAUUAUAGAUUGGAGACGUAUCACCUAUCCUUAGCUGAUUUGGCUGCCUCAAAUUCAUUGAGUACUCGUCUGAGCAAUUACCAAGGACUUACUUCUUGUUGCAUUGCUUCAAGAGAUCUUGGAUGAUAGGUCCAUAGUCCGAGAUUUGCACACCACUCGGUGGCGCAUGGUUGACUUGAUCAAUAUAACCAGGCCAUCGGUUGCAUUGGUCUUGCAUGGUACCUCCAUUGGUUACCAAGAGAGCCUUGGAUGUGGCGUUAUGUGACUUCCAUUAUGUUGAUGUAGUACUCUACAAUUCUACCCGAGAGUCGGUCCUUCGAUUGAUCUGGUCCAAUUGAUGCAUCAACUGACAUGUUUGUCCAAGCGUUACACAAUGCAAUAUAUUAAUCUUGGCAAUACUUGUGAGUCCUAGAUAUUGAUGGUGCCCUCGCGCUUGUUGUGACUCCAUAGAACUAUCAACAACUUCCGGAUCCUCCUUGGCGUCGGCCUCCACUUUUGGCACAUAAUCCUCCUCGGGGUCUUCUUGUUGGUCAGACACCGAGUUAUAGUUGAGAUCUUCAAGCCCAAGCAUAUGUGACUCCUCCAAAGAUGAACAAAGUUUGUUUGUGUUCUUCUCCGCACUAUGACAACAAGCACAUCACCCUAGGGCCGCAAGCAAUCACCAUACAAUGCACCGAUCGAUAUGAAAAUACAUUUAUUUACCUUGAUGGCAUUUGUUUGACCACUUGGCGGCCACGACCCUUGGUGAUGGCAGUGGCGGCCGGACGAGCAACCGUAAGGGUGGCCGAAGAUGUGGUGCGAGGCACCAGAGGCAUCUUAUUCUUAUUAUCCUCGCUAUAUCCUCGGUGAGCGCUGACGCGGGUCUCAUCGACCUCCUUGCCCGCUUGUCAGAGGCUGGAGCAGCGGGAGGGCUGCCUCACAUCUUCAAAGAAGCAGUGGUCUUUCCACCGACCUUGCUACCGGCGAUGCUUGCCUGUGUGGUGGCAUGUGUGGGUUUUAAGUGCCUAGCUUCUUCCUUGUUGUGGGCAGCGGCACAGGGCUCAUUUCCUGAUGCGUCGCGCUGGCGGUGGUGGCUGGCAAGGUGGUGGAAGGGUCUUACAUGUACAUCAUUUUGUCCUCGGGUAGGUAGCCGUGUCCGGCCUUCUUGCCGAUGGCGUUUGCACUGCACUCGCAGGUCUUCCUCACAUUCGUCUGCAACUUGACAUGAAAAUAUUUCUGCCACAUGCCAAAGUGGGACUCGACAUAGAGAAAAGCCUCACACAAGGUGAUGAAGCAUGCAAUGUGAAAGAUAGCAAUGAGGGAAGGUAGUGGACUUUGAAGUAGUAAAAAUGCAGGAAACCCCAGAAGGACAGAUUUAUCAGAAAAGCCCAAUCCGUGAAUCAAAAAAGGGAUGAAAUUGACACUCUUAUGCGGAUCAGGCUAUGGGUACACCUCUUCUCGGGCGUCGCCAUUCUCGGUCACGAUGAUGGGAGAGCACGCGAGGACCACGAUAGCUGCGGAAGAUACCCAUCUGCGGCAAGGCGGUCCAACUGGCCACGCUAGUGGAGGGCAUCCAUUUUCCCUUUGUCUUGGAGGUGACCUUGGCUACAACAGUGACAAUCUCCUUUCCAGUGCUGACCAUCUUUCCAUCCGUGGUGAGCUUGUAGCACAUGGCGGCACGGUGGUGAUGUUGGGUUGUGCUAGAGCGAUGGUGCUAUGGCACAGUGAAGUAGCAGGACAACGACAUAGCGCAAAAGCGGUGGAGCUGUUGUUGUGCCAGGAAGAAGAUGAGAACAAGGGAAACAAUAGCAUGAGCUCCCCCUCGCUCCAUCCAUUCCCUUAUAUACGAGGGUGGAAAUGUGAAAUGGCGGCAUGCAAUCAACGCCACCCAGUGGUAAAUCUCUUCAUACCCCCGCGAUGGCGCUAAGUGCACGUGGGGAUUGAGGUGACUCUGUUAAGUGCGUGCGAGAAUCAGGCAUGCUUCCUCUGUUGAUGCAUGGGACGUGGAGUGGGUGGGACCUAUACCCACUCAUGCAUGUCACAUUGACCGCUAGGUCAAGUCUGACACAUGGUCCGGUGGGACCAACUGAUGAGACAGGUCUGCUCUAACAGGACUGUACAGUUUGAACCAUAAAGACGCUAUGCGGGAAUUCAACCCAUGAGGAGCAGACUGCGCGGGAAACAUUUUCGGCACAGGUAGGCUAUCUUCAUCAAUGGCUUAAGACCGAGGUUAAUUACGCUACCCCAAAGGCGGUCUGGCAGCUUGAGACCUAUUACGUGAAGAUGUUGUUAAUUAGGGAGGCUUGGAAGAACAAGUUUCAACCUCGACGACCUAAAGACAAUGUGCAACUUGGUGUUGGCAAGCUUGAACACCAAAUUAGGGCUACUGAUGGUGUCACGGCCCAGGGGUACCUCACCAUGUCAGUUCUCGGCCUGGUGGAGCCCUAGGUCGGUUUCAUCCUGGCUCACUUUGGGCAGCCCGUGACAUUUAUAUGGAAGACUCCAGACGACUUAAUGUACAAGACAAGUGUACGUGAGCUGAGGAGGAGUCUACCUCCACCGAUCUAGUCGACUAGGAUCUGUAAGCCUAGGACCCCUGGUAUGUUGUAUAAGCUGGGGUCGGGCUCGUCGAGAGAUCAUCAGGUAGGUUCCCCUUUGGUAUAUCAUAUCUAAAGCUAAUUUGAUUGAUUUACAAUGAUCCUUUUUUGCAUGAGUAUAGGGAUACAUUUAACCAUGGGGCUCGUAGCUUUCCCAAGGUGGCCACACGAUAUUGGUUCGAUAUCAUGUAUGGCCUCUCUAGCCAGCAUCUUUGCUUGUAUCCUGAACAAUCCUAGAUCUAUAAAGAAAAUCAUGGGUGUAGAAUAAUCCCACACCUGGCAGAUCAAGAUUGGUCGAACAUGAUCCUUAUUUAUAGGAGACAUCUAUUUCUCAAUUGACUAAAAUUUAACGCAAAACUGAUUUAUAAAUUUCUGUAUGAAUCUAAGCAAAAUUUUACCAUGUUGUAAAAAAUGUGUUCAUCUAGUGCAAAGCAGAUGUAGUUUUAACUAAGGCACCACUGAAUUUACAAGUUUCUUCAUACUGAUUUAAAAGUACUGAGAGUGAUAUAAUAGUUCAUUCAGGCGGAAAUCCAAUUUGGCUCUCGGGUGCACAUGCUAUUGCGCGCGAAAAUAAUUUGGAAAUGUCAAAACAAAUCCAACAAAAAAUUUAUGUGUUCAUAGUCACAUCCAAAUGCUACUUACAAACUCUUAGGCAAAAACUUUAAGCAUUUUGGCCAGUGAAAAAAAUAAAAUUAAAUACCAAAUAUUAAUAACAAAUGUCACCUAAAAUUUGUUUUUUUUUUCACCGACGAAACACUGCCGCUCCGUUCCACAUGAAAAUUGUCAAGGAUGACACUAACACGAACAUUUUCAAAAAGAAACUCAUAUUUUUUUAAUGUUUACAAUUUUUUUAUGGUUACUGUUCAUGCAGGAGGAUGUGCUCCCAGGAGCCAAAACGCCUCCCCCGUUGUUCAGGUUAGUUAAAAAAUGCAGUAUUACUCUCAGAGUUGUUGGUUUGAUGGUUAUGUCUAUUGAGCGCUAAGAAAUUAUACGACAAUUGAGAAUUAGGAAAACCACUUUUCAUAUCACAGAAACUUAAAUCGAGAUUUCUAUAAGUUUAUUGAGUUGUGUAGUCCAGCCAAAAUCAGUUUGUAUAAUUUAUUAUAAUUUUCCAUAUCUUAGUAGCACAAGGUUUUGGCACAUGAAAGUACAUUGUAUCCAUCAUUUCCAUAGCAUUCCCCAUUCGCAACAGCACCAUAUGGAACGGUUGCAAUGACUUUUUUCAAAGUUGUAACCACGCCAUUCACAGCUAAGCUUGCACAUAGCAACAUUGUUGGGCGUUUAUAUCUGGCAUGCUCGGAAAGGAGUACACGAAGUCCACAAUCCAGUUGUACCUACAAACAACAAGGUAUAUAUAGCAUCCCCGUUCAUAUUAGCAUAUGUAGUAUAAGUUGCAUGAGUUUAGAUUAUAUGAAUAUCCAAGGUACAUCAUACAUAAUUGGACUAUUGUAAACAUAAACAAAGAGUGUACCUUUGUUUAUCGUAGUUGCUUGACAUGACCAUAAAGUGCUAGACAUCAUCAGAAGAACUACGAAACAUAUAGCCUAUGUGUUGUUCUUGAUAGGUGCCAUGAGGAGUGGUUUCUUAUUCCUUUUUCCUCCUAUACCUGUAUUCUUUAUGGGCGAUAUCUCUCAACCUAUAUUUCUUAUUGUGUUAUUUAUUAGAGGCAUAAAUCUCGAAGGACCCAUUCUUGCUCUUAUAUUAU